UGGCCUUCUUCCAAGCCUGGUGGAUAAGUGUGGAUUGUGGAAGCAUUGUUCCACGAGGCUUCAGGUUCGAAGGCUGGUAUCCGUUGGGAUGGCGACUUUGAUGAAUCAUGUAUCCAUGUAUGUAUGUGCAUGUGUGUGUGUGUGUUUAUAUAUAUAUUUCAACAAUAUGAGGUAUUUCAAAAUACCUCUGUUUUUUUUUUUCAUACAUAUUUGUUUUUCCCGUCUGUUUUAUGGACAUAAUUCCAUCUCUAUAAAACCUAGCUUCUUAAGUCCAAAAACGUGACCUCUAGUUAUACAGCUUUGACUUAUCACUUAUGUAAACUUGCCUUGUCGCAUUUUUUCUCCAUAUAUUUUUUGUCCAUUACCAUCGUGUCAUGUUACUUCUUAAUCCAAUUAUACAUUGUCAUCUUGAGAAAAAUUUGUACAAAAACAAUACUUUAUUGAACAAGAAACGCGAUAUGACAGUAAACUCGUUAAAGAUUGGAAAAUAUCUUUUGAAGAGAACAUUGUUAGGCCCCAAAUCCAAAUAGUCGAUAGACAUUCAUAGAAAAUGUUUUUGCAUAUUAACCACUGGCCUUCCUCCUAGCCUUAUGGAAAGUGCACAAGCAUGAUCCCUGUAGGGUCUGGGUUCGAGGGCAGGUAUCCUGCGAAUUUGAUGUUCUUCAUGGCCCCUCAGAGGAAACAUAUUAUAUCAACAAUAUGAGGUAUUGCAAAAUACCUCUGUUUUUUUAUGUACCUACUAUUUUCUCUCCUCUAUGUAUUUAAUUAACUCUAUAAAUGUUUAUGUAUUUGUUCAUUAUUAGUGAUUUUUUAUUCUUUCUCGAAGUCUAAAUAUUUUUAAGUUAAAAUGUUCAUAAAGAUAAUCUAAAUUUUAUGAGUUAACCCAAAGAGUGGAGAUAAUCUUAUUAAACCAUUUUAUACUUAUUUUUUUUUCAGUGGUAUAACUUAUUAUUGUACUUAGCAUCAAAACAACAACUUCACAUUCUUGUUCAAUAAUUAUUUCGUUUAGAGAUAGAGAAGAUAUAUUGAAUACAAAGAUAUAUACAUGGUAGACGAAGGAAGCUUGGAGGGGUGUUGAGGAAAUGUAAUGCAAUUAUAUACAAAUUAAAAACUGCAAACCAAAGUCUGGAAACAAUUCUAAAUUGUUUUCACUUUCAACUUUUUGUUUCAUAUAUUAUCUUUCAGUUUUCCCUUCCUUCCCCUCACCAUUCUUGCUUCACCCUUCUUCAUAAAUCGAUAGAUUGAUCCAAAUAGAGGACACAAGGACCCGUGUAUGUUUUAUUGAGACAUAAAAUUAGAGUGGAAAAUAUUGAGCACAAAAACAUUAUCUCAUUUCAAAUUAUUUAAAAAGCAGAACAAAAGCAUAUGAGAUUUUUGUUUUUGUUUUUUUUAUUUUUAUUUUUUUUAUCACAUAUAGAUAUGCAUUGGGAAACUUAUUCACCAAAUGUAGCUACAAAUGUCAAAUUAAAAAGGGUUGUUUUAUUAACACCUCACAUUUUGUUGACCACACCCCAUGUACUAAAACAUCCCACAUUUACUUUUUAAAUUAAAAAUUAUCUUAAUCCACCCCACCUAAUUUCCUACACUACCCUUACACCCCACAAGGAAAUAAUAAAGGUUGUUGCUGCCUUGUUGGGAGAUUUAUCCAGUGUUAGAAAGAAUUGCUUCUGUUUGUCGAAUUCGAGGAAAUAAAAGGCGCCUGGCUUCUAGUGUACUGCUAUCUGUAUAAUUUAGCUGUUUUUGUUUGGUUCUUGCUAUAGUCUCUGACUUGACCUCUUACAUUUUUAUCCUAUUUUGCUCUAGGGUUUCAAACUUCAGCUAGCUUUUCUCUUCUUGAAGUCUCUCCUUUCAACCGAAAAAAUGAGAAAUGAAACUCUCAUUUUUAGACAUUCUUAACUGCCAAAUGGAAUCAGUUUCUGAUUCAUAAUUAAUGAUUAUGCAUGUAUCAGCAUCAAUAUAUUUCCUUUACGAAAAAUCUCAUGGGUUCCUUGUAGCAUUUGCGAUUGCGAUCGUGAUUACACCCCCAACUUAUGAAAAUUAUCUUUAAAAAGGUGAAAUCGGAAUUUGCAUAAAAUGUUUUCAAAUUUGAACUCUUUGACUGCAACUCGAAAACAAGAAAAAUCGAUCUCAACAUGUUCUUGAAUUAUUAUUAGGUUUUUCUAUUAAAAGAACUUACGGAGUGUACUAUAUAUUUAAGGCUUAAAUAGUCAUUUUAUAUCAAGAUAUAUGAGUUAUUUAUUAUUAAAUUUUAUGUGGAGUUUAGUCAACAAAAUGUGGAGUGUUAAUAAAAAAACCAAUUAAAAAUGAUAUACAAAUAGAGCAAAAAUUGGCUGGGCCCAAACUCAACUUGUGAGGACUAAGUUGAUUUUUGGGCUUCCAUUUGGACCGGCUUUCUUCUUAGCCUAGUGGUUAAUUGCGGUAAGCAUGAUUCCUCAAGAUUCUGGCUUCGAAGGCUGGUAUUUGCGAUGGUGAUGAUGAUGAAUCGAUGAAUGGAUGAGACGUUGGUAUUUAAAAUAAUUUAUGACCGCACGAUGUACAAUAAACAGAGAGGAUCUUCAUUCCUUUAACCAAAUGAGGUAUUCUAAAAUACCUUUGUUUUUCUAUAUUUUCCACAUGGAAAAUGAUACAAAGGAAUUGUGAAUUUCAUUUACAAAAGAGAAAUUUUAUCUGGACCCAGUUUUUUUCUUUUUAAACCCAACUUUAAUAUUUUGUUACCUAAACUCUCUAGUUUAUCCUCAUAAAUAAUAAACUGGAAAAACAAAAACUCAUCAAGCCUAUUUCUCGACUGUUCUCUCUCCUUCCGGUGGGCUCCUCCCUGUCUUUGUUGGGUCUGUCUCCCUCCUGACUAUUUUUUUUCUUUUUUUGAUAUGAAGGAAAAAAGAGAAGGUCUGGAGUGGUGGUUGAGUGGUGGAGCUGCAUGUGGGUGCUAUCUUGGUUGAAUGGGUGUAGAAAGAUAUUUAAUUUUCAUUUACUUAUUUCAUUGUUACUCAAAUGUUACUCAAAUAUUAAUUAACGUGCUUAUUUCUUAUUGCUAACGUAUCAUUUAGUUUAGAAAUUUAGUCUACCUAGCAUUACUUAUUUUUUAUAUAGUUUUCUUCCCUCUGUUUUAUUUUAUUUCGUUCCAUUUAUUAGGUUAACACCAAUUAUACUAUUUUGCAUUCUAUACUUUAUUUCUUAUGCAAUUGUAUAAUUUAUUUCGUCAAAAUAUAGUUCAAUUUAAGAUUUUGUUAACAUUUUAUUAACUAAGUAUAGCACAUAAAAAUGUGUGUUGUGUUAUUCGGCAACUUUGCUAAAAUAAUACUAUAAAAAAUUUAAAAUUUAAAAUUUUAAUAUUUAUUUUUUAAUAAACUUUAAAAAUAGGCCUUACAAUACGUCAAAUUUAAAUGUAUUAAUAAAAUGUGUAAAAAUAAUGUAUAUUAAAUGUACGAAGUAUGUAUAUACAUGUAUAGUAUGUUGAAGUUUAAAAAAACAUGAUGUAAUUUAACAAAUCAUUAAGAUGUAUACAAAAAAAACAUAAUUAGGUGCCUUUUUUUUUGGUGAAUUUUUUUUCUUUUGUUAAAUGUUUGAGUAAUGCUAGGGAGACAAAAUUUGUAAACUAAAUGACAUGGAGGUUGAUGGUUGAAUUAUCACUUAAACAUUGAUAAACAUAUUCAUUUCUUAUUGGUGAGACAUCAUUUAGUUUGUAAGUUUUGUUUACAAAUUUAAUCUUCCUAACAUUGCUCUAAAUGUUUAUUUACCCUAAUACGCAACUACGAUUAUGGACAAAAUACAUUCAACAUAAAAUAAUAUAUCUUCUUCUUCUUCCUAAGCAAAUAUUGGUUUGGUUAACAGCCUCAAUACACCUUAUGUUCAUAUAUUCGUCUCUCUCUCUCUCUCUCUCUCUCUCUCUCUCUCUCUCUCUCUCUCUCUCUUAUAGCCUAAUUUGGUAUUUAGGGUUAGGUUUGUAUGAAUUUGUAAUUUGAAAUUGUAAUUAAUUAGGGUUUGGUUUUAUGCUUCAUUCUUCAUCUUCUGGAUUUAGGGAAUUCCAUCCAAUUUCCAGUUUGUUGCAUUCAAUUUAUUAGUGUCAAUGGGUAACUCCCCGAGGGCACAAAAGCAGAGAAGAAAAGAAAUACAAGUAUAUGGAUUGGAGUGUUGUCUUGCAUAAUACCCAAUAGUAGGGGAGAUACUUGCUCCACCUUAAUCAAUCGUUCAAUACUUCUAAUACAAUUUCUAUGGGACUAGGGUGAUGAAAUUUGGUUGUGGUGUACUCUUAGUGCGCGGUUGACGUCUUUGUGUUGCGAUUUCUUGUUCAAAUUAAACACUCGGUUGUUUCUUCCAUCGUGACUAUCUUGGUGGUUGAUAGCAAGAUGUUUGUGGCGGCGGCAACGAUGCUCGGUCUUUGAAAGAUAGAAAUUAAAGUUUCUAUUAUUUUUGUUUGUUUUGGUUAAUGGGCUGGGUUUAUUGUGUACAUGGGUUUUUCCAAUUUUUUUGAGUUGCUUGUCAUCCUUUGUGUUGGCCCGGUGAUAUAUGUUGGACCAUCCAAUUACAACCCCUUUUUUUUUUUUUUUCUUAAUGCAAUGAAAUUUACUUUUUGGACAAAAAAAAAACAAUAGUAUGAGCUCUGUGGUAAUAGUAAUGGAUAGGGUGAUUGUAAUUACCAAAAUAGACGAGGAGAAGGUGUGGCAAUUGGUUGUGCUCGAUGAACUCCUUAUAUUCGUGUCAAUUUGUAGAUUAGGGUUUGGGUUUUGAGUUCAUAUAACAUGUCAUGUGCAAAAUUAUCACUCCUUCCUGCGUACUAGAAUAUCUCAGUUUGUUACAUGAUUGGAAUUCAUUUGACAAAUUUCCUCUAAUUAAAGUGAUGGAAAAGACCAAAUUUCUCUAAUGGUCCAUCAAUCCAUGGACUCUAGUCUCAUUCAUCCUUCGUAUUAGUCCAAUCGUUAGUUAAGUUAAUUCCUUUAUCCAUUUGUGCAUAUAUUAUCAUUUGGAGCCUAAAUUCGAAGAAUUUAUCCCUCAUUUGAAAUACUGAACUAAUGAUGUAAAUGAAAUGAAAAAAAAAAACAAUUGUAUUUUGUCUUCUUUAUCUUUUUUUAUCAACUUAGUCAAUUUAUGGAUAAAAUAUGAUAAAGACCAAUAUUAGUAAGACAGUAAAUCCAUUGUUGCGCUUUCAACCAAAUCGAAGAUUGUUGAAUCAUUGGUGAAGAUUAUUCACUUUUACAUUUUGGUCGUAAAAUUUAGCUAACUUUAUUAUUAUUAAUUAAUCAUUCCUCAUGAUCAGUAGAUGUGUAUAUAAAUUCAUUUUUAUAUUUCAAUUCAUUUUUAUAUAAAUUCGUUUUCGAUUCAACGGUAUGCCAAACAGAAUCAGUAACCCCAAAAAGUUCAUUUGUGGGACCUAAAAAAACCCUCGCUCAAUAUCUUUCAUGCCAGAAGGGGACAUUGGCCCAAAUCCAAAUGGUCGUAGGUAUAUAAUUCAGUUUGCAUGCACUUAUACCGGCCUUCUUACUAGCCUGGUGGAUAAUUGUAGGUUGUGGAAGCAUUAUUCCAUUAGGUUCCAGGUUCGAAGGCUGGUAUCCGUUGAGAUGCCGACUUUGAUGAACCAUGAUUGCAUGUGUGUGUGUAUGUGCGUGCGUACGUAUAUAUACGUAUAUAUUUCAACAACAUGAGGUAUUUCAAAAUACCUCUGUUUGUUUUUGUAACAUAUUUGUAUUUUUAAAGUAAAAAUGUGAUUUUUCGUUAAAGUGAAUAGUAUCGGAAGCUAUUCCUUAAACUUUCCCUUACUAAAUCGUAAAACCUUGUUACCUCUAGAAGAUGCACAAUCGUUUAACGAAGUCUACCAAGCCUUAGAAAUUAGGUUCAACAAGUUUGCGUUACAAUAUUACCCAUAAAUUGCGCAAGCUAGCAAUUAUUCAUACUAAAAAGAGAAAAAAAAAGAGAAAGAAAUAUGAUUGAUCAUGGGCAGGAGUAAUCAAACUUCUAAUCUAUCCAUUGUUUGUUUAGGGUAAUGAGAGAUAAUAAGGACACGAUUCCAUCUCUUUAAAGCGUAAUUUCUUUAGUCCGAGAACUUCAACCUUUAGUACUACAGCUUGGACCUAUUAGUUAUGUAAACUUGCCUUGUCGUUCUUUAUUUUUCUUAUAUUUUUUGUUCAUCGCUACGUGGCUUCUUGACCCAAUCAUACAUCGUCAUGUAGAAAAAAUUUGUACACGACAAUGUAUUAUUGAACAAAAACCGAGACGUGGCAGUGAAUCUGUUUCAAAUACGUUAUUCUCCUUAAUGGUUGGACAAUAUUUUUUAGAGAAAACAUUGGUUGGUGUCAAAUUCAAAUAAUAUCAAGCUUCAAAUAAAUUGUUUUUGCAAAUCAAACACCAGCCUUCCUCCUAACCUAAUGGAAAGUGCACAACCAUGAUCCUCGUAGGGUCUGGGUUCGAAGGUUGGUAUCCUGUGAAUUUGAUGUUCUUCAUCAUGCCCCUCGGAGGAAACAUAUAUAUCAACAAUAUGAGGUAUUACAAAAUACCUCUGUUUUUUUUAAUAUACAUAUUGUUUUUCACUCCUCUAUUUUAUUUACAAAAUACCUCUGUUUUUUUAAUAUACAUAUUGUUUUUCACUCCUCUAUUUUAUUUUUUACUUAAUACUAUAGUCUAGUGAUAUUCCUCUUCACUUAUAAGUGAAAAGUCUUAGGUUCGAUUCUCGCCAAAGACAAAUUUGACACAUUAUUGCUAGCCUAUUGGGAGAUUAAGCCCACCCCUUUCCCUUUGAGUAGAUAAUAUUGUUUGUUAAAAAAAAAAAAAAAACCAUAACGCGAACCAUACCCAAUUCCAUUGAGAUAAAGAAAUACAAAGCUUAGUUAUAUGCAAUCUAUAUGAAUUAGAAGAUACAUCGUUGUAUAGGUAUAAGUAAUGGAAUUCUUUGUUGAGGAAAUCCAUUUAUCUCUGUUUCCAGACCUAUGUCCGUACAAAAUUUGAGUCGUGUAACAAUUGUCGACCUACUCUCCCCAUAUACUAAAAACAAUUUGAAUGAUUCGGUCAAUUUUGGCCCACUCCUAAAUAAACCAUUUUAUACUUAUAUUUUUAUUCAAUGAUAUAACUUAUUAUUGUAUUUUGUGUCAACAACUCAACAUUCUUAUUUAAUAACCAUUUCGUUUUUAAUUUUACUAUUCCUAGAGAUAGAGAAGAAAUAUAUUGAAGACAAAGAUAUAUAAAUGGUAGAAGAAGGAAGCUUGGAGGGAUGUUGAGCAAACACAGUGGAAUGAUAUACAAAUUCAAAAGUACAAACAAAAAUCUGGAAACAAUUCUAAAUUGCUUUCACUUUCAAUUUUUUAUUUCAUAUAUUUUUUUUUCAGUUUUUCCAAAAAAAAUAUAUAAAUGGUAGAAGAAGGAAGUAGAGAGGCUUUCACUUUGAACUUUUUAUUUCAUACAUUUUCUCGCUUCGCCCUCCUUCUCGAAACGAUGGAUAGACCCAAGUAGAGGACACAAGGACCGAUGUAUGUUUUAGUGAGGCCUACAAAAUGAGAGUAAAAAACAUGAGAACAAAAAUAGUAUCUCAUUCCAAAUAAUUUAAAAAGUGUUGCUGUCAUAUUUAGAAUAGAAAUUUGAUUAUGUAAAUCCUAGUGAAUCUAAGAAUAUCUCUUAUAUUCCUAUUAGGAGUGGAUUACCUAUUAAGAAUUGUAAUCCUAAAAGGGUAAGGAUUUUACCUAUUCUACCACUAUAAAUAAAGGCAAAAUGGGAUGAUAUAACACACACCUCACAAUUAAAUCUCUCUCUUCUCUAUCUCACUAUUGUUGGCCUCCCUCUCUCUAUUCCCUCAAAAUAGCUCAGUUAAUUAGGCCUACAACACGUUAUCAGCACGCUCUUGCCAGAAGCUAAGGAAUUGACGAAUCGUAGGAGGAUGCUAUCUUCUACAAAAUUCAAAGGCUCUUUUUUUUUUUAUGCCAAUCAAGUACGCUUAAAAUAAAGGAAGAUAUUUGAAACGACCUUGAAACAUGAAAACAUUCCCCAUGAUGCAUGAACCCCCUAUGUUUAUAUUUUCCUUCCGAUAUAUAUAUUGUAUAUGUUUCAUAUAUUUGUCAAUAAAUAUAUAUAUAUAUAAAUGUUUCAUGCAUUACGCAAUUAUAUUGCUAUGUGGAAUUGUGAGUCAAAGCAUAUAAAUAAAUUAGAAGCAUGUUACGGUUUUUCAAACCUUAGAGAAUUCAAAAAAAAAAAAAAAAAAAAAAAAGGAACUAUGCGGUACCAUCGCAUCACCACUGGCCUGAAGCCCAGUUAUGUGACGCACAUCAUGACACGGUGUCGUCUUUGACAUCUUUGGACCACACGGCAUAAGCCUUUAGGCUUGCAGUGCUGGCUCGAACACCCUAGCCUUCAGCCUGAUAAGCUCAAUAAGGCCUAAAGUCCCUUAGCCCAACCAAGAAAGCAUGUAGCCUUCUUGGCCCGUUGUCCCAUGAUUUGGCUUGCCUAUAGCAACCCUUAGCCCACUGCGUUAUGCUAUGCGCCCCGGCCCGCUUCCCGCAGACUUGUCUGCUAGGCUAAGCUUGCUCUGACCACGACCCAACUUCGACUGGGCUUCCUAGACCAAACCCGCGGCCAGCUUUUUAGCUGGGCAUGCACUCGUGUCCAAUUCUUUGGCCCAAACGCUAGCAGCUGCUACUGCUGGGCUCACCCAAAACAUUCAGCCCAAGGCCUUCAACAAUCACUGAGGCCCAAUAAGCUUGCAGUCGAACAUGUAUGGCUCUUCUCCCACAUUAUUUUGCUUCCAUGAUCGACCUCGUUUGGUCCCGAUCUAUUAAAUUAAUUAAAAGUGACCUGCAAUCCAUUAAUCUGAUAAUGAAUCCAAAAUUAUUGAUCUAAAGAUCACUUUUGGACAUUAAUGAUUCAAUAAUUUAUUUUAAUAUUUUGAAUCGUUGACAUAUUUCCAUAAUCUCAAAGCUCUCACACUUGAGUUCCUGAAGCAACUCAAAUCCACUAUACUUAAAUUAGCAUAUUGUAUUUUGUGUUUCUUGCAAGAACCUUUCCUUUAUGAACUAAUCGUUUAUAAAAAUAAAUUGAACCUGUAGUUUCAUAUUUAGUGCCUUUGAAACUCGAAGUUUUCAUUUAAAACUUACCACAUGAAACCUGUAGCUUUCAUGCAUUAAUUAAACCAAUACAUGUCUAUAGAACCCAAAUGUUCUACGAUAUAUGUCUAUGGAUUACUAUAUGACUAACCACAUUUUUGUUGUACCCUCUGUUUUAGGGACAUGUCGAACUUGAACAAGCUCAAUUUCACCGUUGUGGAAGUAUCUAGAAGAAAUUACCUGAAGUGGGUUUAAGACGUGAAGCUCCAUCUUACUGCAAAGAGUAUUAAAGCUACCAUCGAGGCACCUACCGACGACAAACCCAUCGACGAAGCUCAUAAACAUCCAUGAUGCAAUGUAGACCGAGUAUCUCGCUACGGAGGACCCACGCACCCUCUGGCUUACUUUGGCCAACUGUUCGAUCACCAAAAAGACAUCUACUUGCCUGAAGAAAGACACGACUGGCAUCAUCUUGCUUCCAAGACUUUAAGUCCGUGAAUGAAUACAACUCUGAAGUUUGUAGUAUCCGAUCACUAUUGAAGUACUGUAAAGUGGAACUAACCGAAUCAUAUCUCUUGGAGAAGACUUAUUCGACCUUCCAUGCCAUUAAUAUUGUCCUGCAACAACAAUAUAGAGCACAGAAGUUCACCAAAUUUUCGGAUUUGAUCUCUAUUUUACUUCUCGCUGAAAAGUAGAACCAGCUUUUGACGAAGAAUCAUCAAGCUCGAUCGACUAGCUCGAACGCCUCACCUGAAGCACAUGCAACCAAUUCUAGCAACUCAUUGUGAGGUUAAGCCCACCCCCUCACUCUUAGUGUAGAUAAUAUCGUUUGUUCGAAGAAAAAAAAUCAUUUGACAACUAAUUGAAUCACAUUAUUAUGCGCGUGCGAAAGACCAUUUUUAUAAUUGGCACUACGCGUCUCUUAAGAUGUUUUGAACGUGUUUAAAAAUAGAGAAAAUAAUAUUUAAUAAAAAAACUGAUUGAAUCACAUUAUUGCUAGCAUAUUGUGAGGUACUAAUUAUAAAAAAAAAUUAAAAAAAAUUGUACAAAAAGAAAUAAUUAUUUAAAAAACAUUUUUUAUAUGACAAACAUAACCCUACAUUAUUUGGUGCAUUAUUUUGGAUUGCUUUUAAACAUUUUUUUUGUUUGGGGGGCAUUUCUAUUUACUUUUUUUUGGUGAAACUUGUGAUCCAAAAAAACACAGUUCAUUGCAGUGUUGGCUUUAUAUAUAGAGAAGAGAUAAACACGUAAUAAAUUCUCAAUGAACAUGCACCUGCCACUAAAUUCAUGAAAACUUUUUUAUUUGGUACCAGAUAUGGAGUCUCCUCUUACUCAUCAUUGUAUUUACCCUCGUUACUAGACCAACUCUAAUUGGCUUGGUAUUAUUUGUGUUUAAGAUGCUAAAUAGAUAUUGUAACAGUUAACAUGGCAAAGUCGCUCUUUCAAAAUAAAAUUAUAUCCUUAUAAUUAAACUAGCUACAAUUAGAUAUUGAACUUACCAUAAUACAGAUCAUUUCGCAUUAGUUUGAAUUGGUUUUGAGAACUCUUUCUCCAAGCAAAUGGAGAUAACCAUCACUUAAAAAAAGGUUAGUUGGUGUCUUGAAAUUUUGAAACAGAUAACAUGUUUAUUUCAUUUCCACAAGCACACAAACGUAUAACUCUCUUUUGAAACGUUCCCCCCUUAGCAAUCUUUUUUUUUUUUUUUUUUUUAAAACUAGUGCCUCCAGAUCUUUUGACCGGACUAAUCACUAAAGCCCCCCCCCCCCCCCGCCGCCUGAUCCCACAACAUUUGAGAAGCAAGAAACUCUAGCAAUUGCUAGGUGGGUACCUUGAGAGGUGUCGAACCCCUUACCUCUUGGUGGCAAACCAAGGGCCUGGCCAUUAGACUAAACACUCUUAGGUCCCCCAAAGCAAUCUUUUUUAACUGAGGUUUUGUCCAACAACUAAUUAGGCUCCUCUUACGGGGCUUGGGCCUCUAAGGUAAAGUUGCCUUAUUGCUUUCAUAUUUACACAUACACACUAUAUAUAUUUUUUCUGAAAAUGUGGACUCAGUUAAAAACAAAGAAACCACAAGUGGUUCAGUGUAAAUGUGGUAGAAUUCUUAAGUAUAGUUUGUUUACUGGUUUUGGGUUUAAGGCACAAAGUUUGCAAAAACAGAAUAAUUUCAUGGUGGAAAGCUUUAGGAGGAUGUGUGCUAUUUGAUUGUGGCUAAGGGUGGACUCACAUUACUUUAGUCAUUUCGCGUCACAGUGGGAAUUAGUCAUACCCUUCUAGAGGUGAGAAUUAAAGAAAGUUGAGGUCCCACCACAAAAAAAAUUAGCCCAGUUACUGAAAAUUAAAGGCGAAUUUUCAAGCAUAAUACAUGGACAACGCAAAUCGAGUGACGUUGAGAACGUGUGGCCAUUGAGACUCACACUUGAACAACCUACUUUGAUAUCAUAACGAAAGUUAAGGUUUCACCGCAUUGGAAAUAUGAAGAGGUGCCAAACUUACUCAUAAACUCAUGUAAAGUCUCUAUUCCUUCAAUGUGAGAUUCAUUCUUAACAAAGAUGCCUUAGGCUUGGGCAAAAAAAAAAAAAAAAAAAAAAAUUAAAAUUAAAACAAAGGGCUUCUUGUUAUAAACUUUGUAUUUAAGUGUGAUUGUGUAAAUCCUAAAUUAAAUUUUAUUCUAGUUAUUCUUCCCUAUUAGAAUUUGUAUUCCUUGGAGGAGAAUGAUUUUUCUCUCACUUAUUACUAUAAAUAAAGGCACUGCGUAGGAGGAAUAACACAUUCUCUACACAGCCCUACAAACACAUAUCUCUUCCUAUUUUCUCUAUGUGCCACCGCCCCCUCUCCUCUGUUAGAUUAAAAUAAGCCACAACACUUCUUUAAUUGUUUUAUUUAUAAGAAGUUUCAUCAAAACACCGUAAGAAACGAAAAAUACAUAUCUUAAUUUCAAGCCACUCCUCUCCAAGUACAAUUAGAAGUACUUGUCUUUUUAGUUUCUUGAGAACCACCUGAUGGAAGAGACAAUUUGUAAUAGCAUCAAACAAAAAAUGAAUGAGCCAAUAUGUAAGAUUCUUUUACCCGUUUUUUCAUUGGUGCAAGCAUGAAUCAUCAACGUUGUGGGUUUGAAGGCUGGUAUCCUCAAUGUUGUGGAUAGCACUACCCUGGAAAUAUGAUCACACACACACAUACACACAACCAUGUUCAUCCUCACCAAUGAGGUAGUACAAAAUACCUCAGUUUUUUUUAAAAGGGGUUUAGAUUUUACCUUUAUCAUUAUCUUUAAUUCUCCUUCUACAUAAUGCUUCUUUUUCAACUUAGGUUUUAAUCUAACUGUACAAGAGCAUGACCUUCUAGUAAUAGUAAUGGAGUUUAGGGCGAUUGUAAUUUACAAAAAUAAAUGAGGAUGAGAAUGCUUGGAGUUGGUUGUAUCAUUUUUAUAGGGGUGUGCUAUCCACACACCCCAUUUUACUUCUCACACACCCCAUUUUACUUCUCACACACCUCUUGAUAAUUUAUGUCCGUUGAUCUUCUUCAAUUCAUCUGAUCCGACGGCCGAAAAUUAAAAAGAUGUGUGAGAAUUAAAAUGGAGUAUGUGAAUAUCACACCCCUUUUUAUAUUAUUGUAGCUUUUGGGUCAUGCAAUGGAUACUGCAUAUUAAAAUACCUAUGUUCGUUUACUUCCAUAUUUUUCUUUGUAAUUUUGUUUAUUUUUCAUAGCUAACUCUUCAAUCUAUUUGUGCAUAAAUUCCUAUUUCAAGCCCAAAAUGGAAGAAAUUAUGCCUCAUGUGAUAUAUUGGACGAACAGUGGUAAGGGAAUGGAACUAGAAAAGCAACAGUACAACAAAAAAAAGUAAGAUCGAAUUUGAAAAUGUGAGUAAAUUACAGUAACAAAUAGUACAAGUUGCUAAUUUCCAAACACUAAACCGAAGAUUCAAUACAAACACAGAGCAGGUGAAGCUUUCUCUUCGAGUGAGAGUCUUUCUCUCCUAUUGAGUCAUUCUCACCCUUUAGUGUGAGGCUUACAUACUAAAGAAAAUCAGGUGGUGCCGAUCCUAGUUUCGGCUGGGGUCGGUCGCUGUUUCCCCCUUUCUUUCUGUCUCUUCUCUGUUUUGUACUUCUACUCCUUAUUCCCCCUGUUUUUUCUCCUAAUCUAUUAUGUUCUUCUUACACAGCUGGUAUCCCUCCUGUUUGUUCAUCCAUAUUCCGAUUUUCAGCCAUGGAUACUCUUGAGAUCGUGUGCAGAGCUCCAGUGUUUGUAGCGGCUCGGGUGUUUCUAACACCACCACCUUUUCCUUGUUAUCUGCCUUUACCAGCAGUGUUGUUCGUGGGUUGCCAUGGACUUCAUCCUGAUAGUUGACUUCUUCAUAUCAAUUGCUGGCUAUCCUUUCUUUGUGGUUGUGCUCGGGAAGCUAAUCGGGGUGGGAUGCUGAAAAUGAUCUGACGAGGAACUGGACGGAUCGUGAACGGCGGUGAAUGCUAUAGAACUUUCUGGAGUCUGUAACCCCUCUUUUUGUGCAUUUUGGGCUUCAACUACUAGUUGGCCCUUUGUCUUUCUUGGCCCGUGUUUUGCUUGUUUAUGUGUUAUGUUUGGGCCUUGGGUUUGUAUUUGUGUUUGUUUUAAGUUGUAAUAAAAGUUUGCUUUUAUUAAAAAAAAAGGGGGGGGGGGAUUUAGAAGCCCAAAUGACUCGAUGCAAGUGCAACAAUGAAUGGCCCAAAUCCAAAUGGGGAAAAACUUAUAAAUUGUUUUUCUUUUACACAUGUUUGCUCUGGCUUUCUUCCUAGCCUUGUGGUUGAAUGCUCCAGCAUGGACACCCAUGGUUAUGGCUCCGAAAGCUGGUACUGGAGAUUUGAGGUGAGGAGAUCAUGAUAUUGUUAUAAAAAAUGGUUCCUGAAACUAAAUUGAAUAAGGUAUUCUAAAAUACCUGUUCUUUUCUGCAUUUUUUAAUAUUGAAAACGAUGCUUUCAUACACUUUAUACCUAAACAUUUACUCUUCGUUCUUUUUUACCUGCUCUAUCUGACAUCUGUUGUUCUUCAACCCCAAACAACCAUCAUUUGCCGCCUCCUUCCUCUACCUAUUUACUCUUCGUUCUUUUUUACCUGCUCUAUCUGACAUUCGUUGUUCUUCAACCCCAAACAACCAUCAUUUGCCGCCUCCUUCCUCUACCUAACUACCUCACAAUCCAUCUCCACCACAACCAUUUCUUGGAUCCAUAAGUUUCGAUCCAAAGGGAAACACCUGUUUCAAUAAUCACUUUCACUACUCCUCGCCCGACGGCUACUUUGCAUACCUUCAUAGUACUGGUUUGGUACUAAGGUGCUUUUAUAAAAAGUGGGUAUCAAAAAUAACUUAUUUUCAUAGUUUUAGGUGAAAAAAAAAAUCUGAAAACAUGGCAAAAAUGAGUUUAUUUUCACAGCACAGCAGAAACAGUUUUUUUUUUAAAAUCACAACAAUACCAAACCAGCCUUUCCUCAAUGUAUGAAAUUGGUUGUGGUUGUAACUCUCCUUUGCAAUUGAAGUUCUCGACCAAUUGGCACUUGUCUUCUCCAUCAUGGCUACCUUGGUGGUUGAUGGUAAGACGUUCGUGGCUGCAGUGCACAACCUUUGAAAGAUAAAGAUAAGGUUUCUAUUAUGUUUAUUUGUUUUGGUUAUUGAGGGAAUAACCAAAUACAAACAAGUUAGAUUAUGUUAAUUUGUAAUUUACACCAAUUAAAAACUCCUACUUACAUGGAAUUGCAAUUGAGGGAAUUGUUUUAUUUAUUUAUUUUGAACAUACGAUAUUAUCUACACUAAGAGGAGGGGGUGGGCUAAGCCUCAUAAUGAGUUAACAGUAAUGUUGUUCAAACUCAUCUUUGACAAGAAUCGAACCUAAGACCUCUCACUUAAAUGAUAUAUAAUGAAUAACCAUAAUUUGCCUGGGCGCUACGUCUCAGACCACUACACAACUAGCGCUUAGCGUUUUUUAGAAUCUUAAUCAAACCACUUUCAAUAAAAUUGUAGAAAAAAAAUGUUGAACCAACGAAAUUGAAAAUAAAACACCUAUAUCGAAACAUUCUUCUUUUUAUUUAUAAGACGCUUUAUCAAAACACCCUUAAUUUGAAGCCAGUCCUCUCUAAAUACAGUUAGCAGUUAGCAAGUACUUGUCUUUUUAGUUUCUUGAGAACCACCUAAUCGAAGAGAAUAUUUUAUAGCCUAGAUGACUUCAACCAAGAAAUAAAUGAGCCAUAAUCCACCUCUUUUCACUCAAAUAUAUAUUUAUUUUACCCCUGUUUCACAUUGGCCUUCUUCCUACCAUUGUGGUGAAGUGUGGAAGCAUGAAUUCUCAUUGUUGUGGGUUCGAAGGCUGGUAUCCUCAAUGGAAAUAUGAUCAUACACAAACACAAAUCCUUGCUCUUCCUAUCCAAUGAGGUAUUACAAAAUACCUCUGUUUUUUAGGGGCUUUGGAUUUUACCUUUUUACCUUUAAUUUCUCCUUGUACAUAAUGCUUCUUUUUCAACUUGAGUUUUAGUCCUAUCUCAAAAAAAAAAAUUAAAAAAAAGAAUAAAAUAAAGACCUGAGUUUUAAUUUAACUGUACAAGAGCAUGAGCUCUAGUAAUAGUAAAGGAUUUUAGGGCGAUUGUAAUUUACCGAAAUAGAUGAGGAGGCGAAUGCGUGUCAACUGGUUGGCCUCGAUGAGCUCUAUAUAUCUGUGUCAAUUUAUAUAUUACGGCAAGUUUCAGAUCAUGUAAUGUAUAUUUCAUACUAAAAUAUCUCGGUUUGUUAUGUAUAUAGUAUACUCAUUUUUUCACUUUCUUUUACUUCCAUAGUUUUCUUUGUAGUUUCAUUCAUCUUUUACAAAAUAACUCUUCUAUCUAUUUGUGCAUAUAUUCCCAUUUGAAGCCCAAAUUGGAAGAAUUUAUGCCUCAAUCGACAUAUUAGACUAACAAACAAAUAGUGCAAGUUGCCAAUUUCCAAACACAAAAUCGGAGAUUUUGAAGCCCAGAUGACUGAAACACAAGAUGCAAGUGUAACGAUGGCCAAUGGGUGGCCCAAAUCCAAAUGGUGGAAAGUGUAUAAAUCGUUUUCUUUUAAACCCUAUUUUCACAGGUUAAAUGCUCCAACAUGAACACCCACGGUUAUGGGUUCGAAAGGUGGUACUGGAGGCUCGAUGUUGAGGAGACGAGGAUAAUACUAUUUAUACGCCCAUUCUCUCAGUAUGAAAUUGUUAUCACAAAGGGUCUCUGAAAUUAUCUGAAAUUAAACAAAAUGAGGUAUUCUGAAAUAAUGCUUUCAAACUUUAAUUCUUCCUCCUAUUUAAUCAUUUCUUUCAACUGUUUGAAUUUUAAUUAUAUAUGUUUAUAUUUAAGAGGUGGUUUUGGCCUGACUACUUCAUAAGGCAUUUGGAUGACCAUUUGCAGAAAAUUACUGGAUCCACUUAUUCCUUUUUUAUUAUUCUGGUUUUGCCUUGCAUUUACGUAUCCAGUGAAGAAUUUCAUAUUUGUUUGCCUUUGAAUAAUAUAUAAAACAAAGUAAAUAGGAGGCAAAUGAGUACAUAUUCUGGUUGGUCUAGUUGUUGGUAUAUGUUUUUCUCAUCUCCUUGCUUCUAAACUGGUGGAUGUUUUUUAAAUCCAGUACUCUCAUUUGAGGGUACCCACAAAUUCAAUGACCCAAUAGUUUUUUCUUGCAUUUUUUUCAGGUAAAAGAACAUUGCAAUGAGGAUCCGCAGAGGAUUCUAUUACCAAACAUGUUAAAAUUUAACCUAGGAACUAUUACAUUGGAAAAAUUAUUCAACAAUGUACAAGAUUGACAUAACUAUGUACAAAUUUAGCCUCUUGAAAAAUUAUUCAACGAUGUACAAGAUUGACACAACGAUGUACAAAUUUAACCUCUUGAAAACAUAAUUUAUUAUAUAGUUAGGAAUUUGAUGCACUAGAUCUCAGUCAGAAUUAGCGGUGGUGGCGGGCGGUACGGCGUCGGAGGAAGGGCGUGAGAAGAAAUAAGAUGGAGGAAAAAAAGAAGAAAUAAGAGGGAGCUAAGGAGGCUGCUAGGGAGAAAGAAGAGGGAGUUCAAACUUGACAGUGAUGUGGGAGUUCAUCUCGAGCAAACUUAUUCCUAGUCUCAUGGUUAAUUGCACCAGCUUUAACAACCAUGGUGCUGGGUUCGAAGCUGGUAUUGAAGAUGACGACGACGACGACGACGAUGAUGUUAGUUUAAACUCACAAUCAAUGAAGUUGUAAGUAUCAGCACCGUUUAAGAGUGGUGGUGAGCAAAAUUAUUUCAUGUUGUAAUUGAAAUUCACUUAAGAAAAUACUUGAAAUUAAAUGAAGAAUACUUUGGUAAAUAAAACUGAUGAAUGUUUUUGUAUUUCCUAUACUCUCAUUUUAAUGUACCCCCAAAUUCAAUGACCCAAUAGGUCUCCCAACAAUUACAUUUUCAUUGUUGUUUCUCAAGUUUUUUCUUGCAUAUUUGUGCUUCUAGUUUCAAUCAAUGUAUUCAUUCUAUUUCAGUUAAUCAAAUAAGUUAAAAUUUUCUAUCUAUUUUUGUACUCAUCUUUUUAUUUGAGGAAGUAGACUAGUAAUGCAAAAUUAACCUUUGAAUAUGACCUAAAAAACCCUCACAUAGAAAUAAACGUUGGCCCAAAUCCAAAUAGUUGCACCCUUAUAAAACUUUAGUUUGCAUGCUUUAGUACCGGCCUUCUUCUUGGUGGAUAAGUGUGGAUGCGAAAGCAUUGUUCCACGAGGUUUCAGGUUCGAAGGCUGGUAUCCGUUAGGAUGGCGACUUUGAUGAAUCAUGCAUGUAUGUGUAUGUGUAUGUGUUGUGUGUGUAUAUAUAUAUGUAUGUAUGUUUCAACGAUAUGAGGUAUUUCAAAAUACCUCUGUUUUUUAUAUUUUUAUACAUAUUUAUUUUUCCCGUCUGUUUUAUGGACAUAAUUCCAUAUCUAUAAAACCUAGCUUCUUAAGUCCAAAACUUGACCUCUAGUUAUACGGCUUUGACUUAUCACUUAUGUAAACUUUUUUAUUCUCCUUAAAUUUUUUGUUCAUUGCCACCGUACCACGCAGCUUCUUAAUCCAAUCAUACAUUGUCAUCUUGAGAAAAAUUUGUACAAAAUAAUACAUUAUUGAACAAGAAAUGCGAUAUGAUAGUAAACUCGUUAAGGGUUGGAUAAUAUCUUUUAGAGAGAACCCAAAUCCAAAUAGUCGAAGGCCAUUCAUAGAAAAUGUUUUUGCAACCGGCCUUCCUCCUAACCUUAAUGCAAAGUGCACAAGCAUGAUCCCUGUAGGGUCUUCAUGGCCCCUCAGAGGAAACAUAUUAAUCAACAAUAUGAGGUAUUGCGAAAUACCUUUGUUUUUUUAUGUGCCUACUAUUUUCUCUCCUCUAUAUAUUUAAUUAACUCUAUAAAUGUUUAUAUAUUUGUUCAUUAUUAGAGAUUUUUUAAUUUUUUAUCAAAGAUUUUUAGAUUUAAAUGUCUAUAAAAAUAAUCUAUAUAAAUUUUAUUUAAAAAAAAAAUAUUUAGCCUAAUGUUUUUCUCUUACCUAGAAUUUUAACCCAGGAUCAUUGGUGAAGAAAAACUAUUUUCUGAGUUAAAACCUAAAUUUUAUGUGAUAACCCAAAGAGUGGAGAUAAUAUUAUUACCCAAAGUUUUAGUACUACUAGAGAUAGAGAAGAUAUAUUGAAGACAAAGAUAUAUACAUGGUAGAAGAAGGAAGCUUGGAGGGAUGUUGAGGAAAUGUAAUGGAAUUAUAUACAAAUUAAAAACUGCAAACCAAAGUCUGGAAACAAUUCUAAAUUGUUUUCACUUUUAACUUUUUAUUUCAUAUAUUCUCUUUUAGUUCUUCCUUCCUUCCCAUCACCAUUCUUGCUUCACUCUUCUUCGCGAAUCGAUAGAUAGAUCCAAGUAGAAGACACAAGGACCUAUGUAUGUUUUAUUGAGAAAUAAAAUUAGAGUGAAAAAUAUUGAGUACAAAAAACAUUAUCUCAUUUCAAAUAAUUUAAAAAGCAGAACAAAAGCGUAUGAGUUUUUUGUUUUUUUUUUUGUUUUUAUCACAUAUAGAUAUGCAUAGGGAAACUUAAUCACCAAAUGUAGCUACAAAUGUCAAAUUAAAAAUGAUAUACAAAUAGAACAAAAAUUGGCUGGGCCCAAACUCCACUUGUGAGGACUUAAGUUCAUUUUUGGGCAUGCAUUUACACCGGCCUUCUUCUUAGCCUAGUGGUUAAUUGUGCUAGCAUGAUUCCUCAAGGUUCUGGCUUCGAAGGCUGGUAUUUGUGAUGGUGAUGAUGAUGAAUCGAUGAAUGGAUGAGAGGUUGGUAUUUAAGAUAAUUUCUGGCAGCACGAUAUAUGAUGAACGGAGAGGAUCCUCAUUUCCUUAACCAAAUGAGGUAUUCUAAAAUACCUUUGUUUUUCUAUAUUUUCCACAUGGAAAUCUAUAUUUUCCACAUGGAAAAUGAUACGAAGACAUUGUGAAUUCCAUUUACAAAAGCAAAUUUUUAUUUGGACCCAGUUUUUUUCUUUUUCAACCCAACUUUAAUAUUUUGUUACCUAGAAUCUCUAGUAUACCCUCAUAAAUAAUAAACAUAAAUAAAUUGGAAAACAAAAACUCAUCAAACCUAUUUCCCGACUAUUCUCUCUCCUUCUGGCAAGCUCCUCCCUGUAUUUGUUGGGUCUUUCUCCCCAUAAAUAAAUUGGAAAAACAAAAACUCAUCAAACCUAUUUCCCGACUAUUCUCUCUCCUUCUGGCAAGCUCCUCCCUGUAUUUGUUGGGUCUUUCUCCCUCCCGACUAUUUAUUGUUUCCUGAUAUGCAAGAGAAGAGAGAAGGUCUGGAGUGGUGGUUGAGUGGUGGAGCUGCAUGCUAUCUUGGUUGAAUGGGUGUAGAAAGAUAUUUAAUUUUCAUUUCCUUAUUUCAUUUUGUAUAAGGGGUAAAAUAGGAAUUACAGAGAUUUAUUUUUGUAGCUAGGUGUAGAAAGAGCUUUGUUGGAUCUCAAUAUAAUUUACCUUUACAAAAGUAUCUCAUAUUUCUGGUUUCUUUUUAUUUUAAAAUUUGUCAUUAUUAAGGGGAGGGUAAACUUCGAAUACGGAAUGCAUGAGUAGAAACAAAUAUAUGUCAUGUUACAAAUGGUCAAAUUAAAAAAAUGACUAAACAAUACUGUAAUUGGUUGGGCCCAAAUACAAAGUUUAAAUUUGUGCAUGAAGUUUCCACUGGUCUUAUUCCUGGCCUUGUGUACAAGUGCUGAAGCUUGCUUCCAUUAGGUCUCAGGUUCGACGGCUGGUAUCCGUUGAGAUGGCGAGUUUGAUGAUGGUCAAGCAUGUGUAUAUGUAUGUGUGUGGUGGCAGAGAGUUGAGUUCGCUUUUGAGAUAAUUUCCUUAGCAUUUCUCAUAUAUCUCUAUACAUAAAAACAAAAUGAGGUAUUUCAAAAUACCUCUGUUUUUUUAUGAGUAAUGUUAGAGAGAUUUUUUUUUUGUUAAAAGAUAAAUUUUGUUAGAUUAUAUAGUACGGAGAUUAAACUUAUAGAUAAAAUUUUGUAAAUUAAAUAACGUGAAAGUUGAUGAUUGGAUUGUUACUCAAAUGUUAAUUAACGUGCUUAUUUCUUAUUGCUGAUAUAUUAUUUAGUUUAGAAAUUUAAUCUAGCAUACUCUUUUUUUUUAUAUAUAUAUAGUUUUCUCCCCUCUGUUUUAUUUUAUUUCGUUCCAUUUAUUAGGUUAACACCAAUUAUACUAUUUUGCAUUCUAUACUUUAUUUCUUAUGCAAUUGUAUAAUUUAUUUCGUCAAAAUAUAGUUCAAUUUAAUAUUCAUUUUUUAAUAAACUUUAAAAAUAUGCCUUACAAUACAACAAAUUUAAAUGUAUUAAUAAAAUGUGUAAAAAUAACGUAUAUUAUAUGUACAAAGUAUGUAUAUACAUGUAAUUUAACAAAUUAUUAAGAUGUAUACAAAAAAACAUAAUUAGGUGCCUUUUUUUUUUAUGAAAAACUUUCUUGUGUUAAAUGUUUGAGUAAUGUUAGGGAGACAAAAUUUGUAAACUAAAUGACAUAGAAGUUAAUGAUUGAAUUAUUACUUAAGCAUUAAUGAACGUGCUCAUUUCUUAUUGGUGAGACAUCAUUUAGUUUGUAAGUUUUGUCUACAAAUUUAGCCUUCCUAGCAUUACUCUAAAUGUUUAUUUACCCUAAUACGCAACUACGAUUAUGGACAAAAUACAUUCAACAUAAAAUAAUGUAUCUUCUUCUUCUUCAUCUUCCUUAGCAAAUAUUGGGGUUUGGUUAACAGCCUCAAUACACCUUAUGUUCAUAUAUAUAUAUAUAUAUCUCUCUCUCUCUCUCUCUCUCUCUCUCUCUCUCUCUCUCUCUCUUCUCAUAGCGUAAUUUGGUAUUUUAGGGUUUGGUUUGCAUGAAUUUGUAAUUUGAAAUUGUAAUUAAUUAGGGUUUGAUUUUAUGCUUCAUUCUUCAUCUUCUGGAUUUAGGAAAUUCCAUCCAAUUUCCAGUUUGUUGCAUUCAAUUUAUUAGUGUCAAUGGGUAACUCCCCGAGGGCACAAAGGCAGAGAAGAAAAGAAAUACAAGUACAUGGAUUGGAGUGUUGUCUUACAUAAUACCCAAUAGUAGGGGAGAGACUUGUUCCAUGUUAAUCAAACAUUCAAUACUUCUAAUACAAUUUCUAUGGGACUGUGGUGAUGAAAUUUGGUUGUGGUGUACUCCCAGUGCACGGUUGAUGUCUUUGUGUUGCGAUGUCUUCUUUGAGUUAAACACUCGGUUGUUUCUUCCAUCGCAGCUACCUUGAUCGUUGAUGGCAAGACUUUCGUGACGGCGGGGGCAAUGCUCAGCCUUGGAAGAUAGAAAUUAGAGUUUCUAUUAUGUUUGUUUUGGUUAUUGGGUUGGGUUUAUUGUGUACUUUGGAUUUUUCCAAUUUUUUGAGUUGUUUGUCAUCCUUUGUGUUGGCCCGGUGAUAUGUGUUGGUUUGUCCAAUUACAACCCUUGUUUUUUCUUAAUGCAAUGAAAUUUACUUAUUGGAUAAAAAAAAGAGUAUGAGCUCUCUAGUAAUAGUAAUGGAUAGGAUGAUUGUAAUUACCAAAAUAGAUGAGGAGAAGGCGUGGCAGUUGGUUGUGCUCGACGAAUUCCUUAUUUUCGUGUCAAUUUUUAGAAUAGGGUUUGGGUUUUGAGUUCAUAUAACGUGUCAUGUGCAAAAUUCUAACUUCUUCCUGCGUACCAGAAUACCUCAGUUUGUUGCAUGACUAGAAUUCAUUUCACAAAUUUCCUCUAAUUAAAGUGAUGGAAAAGAUCAAAUUUCUCUAAUGGUCCUUCAAUCCAUGGGCUCUAGUCUCAUUCAUCCUUCAUAUUAGUCCAAUCGUUACUUAAGUUAAUUUCUCUAUCUAUUUGAGCAUAUAUUCUCAUUUGGAGCCUAAAUUCGAAGAAUUUAUGCCUCAUUUGACAUAUUGAACUAAUGAUGUAAAUGAAAUAAAAAAGAAAACGUUUGUAUUUUAUCUUCUUUAUCUUUUUUAUGAACUUGGUCAAUUUAUGGAUAAAAUAUGCUAAAAGUAAAUCCAUUGUUAUGUUUUCAACCAAACUGAAGAUUGUUGAAUCAUUGUAAAGAUUAUUCACUUUUACUUUUUGGUUGUAAAAUUUAGCUAACUUUAUUAUAUUAAUCAUUCCUCAUGAUCAGUAGGUGUGUAUAUAAAUUCAUAUUUAUAUUUCACAAUUUUCCAAUGUCUGUUUUAAGGAGCGUACAAUAUGAGUGUUUAAAAAUAUAAUUACAAAAACGUAUCUCACUCCAUGUAAGUUAAUACACAAACCAAAAGCUUAUAAGUUCUAUUAACAUAGGAGUUAUCUCAUUACACAUUGAUGACACAUUAAUCCUCAUCUUCAUGUAGCCUCGGUACACCAUGAGACAUCAACAUAUUUUUUGCCUUUGGGUCAACAAUAUACCAAACAAAGUUAGUGGCUCCAAAAAUACAUUUGUGAGAGUUCAAACUCGAGCAAGCCUCGUGGUUAAAUGUACCAGCAUCAACAACCAUGGUACUUGGUUCAAUGCAAAAUUAACCUUUAAACACGACCUAUGAAAACCCUCGCUCAAUAUUUUCGUACUACAAGAGGACAUUGGCCCAAAUCCAAAUGGUUGCAGUUAUGUAAACUUAGUUUGUGGGGAUUUGUACCGGCCUUCUUCCUAGCCUGGUGGAUAAUUGUGGAUUGUGGGAGCAUUAUUCCAUAGGGGUGGGUUCGGUUUAAUUCGGUUCGGUUUUUUGCCAAAACCGAAACCAAACCGAAAUUUCGGUUCGGUUCGGUUCGGUUCAUUUUUUUUUCGGUUUUUUUCGGUUCGGUUUUUUUUCGGUUCGGUUUUUUUCGGUUCGGUUUCGGUUUUUUGUUUUUUUUUUCUUUCAAAAAAUGAAAAACAUUGAAAUUUUAAAUUUUAACGUAUCCAACACAAUUAUAACACAAGCAUUCUAACUAUAAUCAAAGACAAUGAAAAUAAACAUUUAAAGUUGAACUAAAAUCAUCAAUCAAGUCUUCCAAAGUCCAAACUAACAACAUCACAACACAAAAAUCGUACAAAUGACUUAGAAAAGUUAAAUUGUAUGAUGUUGUUCAAAGAUCAGGGUUGUUUGCUUGUAACUGCAUGUUGACAACUUGAUUAGUAAAAGAAAUGCGUGGGUGGAUUUAUUUAGUGUGUGUUGGAUUCUUUUCCAUCACAAAUUCCCUAAGUAAUCUACCCGAAAUAAAUGUUUAUAGAUUCUGUUACAUGUUAUAUGAGAGUAGAUUUGGAAAAGAAAGCUGAGACAAAAGUAGACAGUGCUAUGGAGAUGGAUGUAGGUACUUCAGGAUGAGGUUUGGCUCCGGAACCUUAUAUGGGGGAUAAAUAAUAGGUUAGGGUUUAAAGUUUUUAUAGGACUUUUUUUUAAUAUUUUGAGCUUAAAGUUUGGCAACACAUUGGGUUUAGCAUAUUUUAACUUACAAAUUGGGUUUAGAAAAUAAUAUCCAAAACAAAUAAUUAAAUAAAAAAAUUAAUUUAAUUAAUUCGGUUCGGUUCGGUUUGGUUCGGUUUCUAGAUAACUAAAACCGAACCGAACCAAAAGAAUUCGGUUCGGUUCGGUUUUUUCAAUUCGGUCGGUUUUUUUGUUCGGUUCGGUUUUUUCGGUUUCGGUUCGGUUUGGUUUUCGGUUUUUUUCGGUUUUCGGUUUUUUGAACCCACCCCUAUUAUUCCAUUAGGUUCCAGGUUCGAAGGCUGGUAUCCGUUGAGAUGGUGACUUUGAUGAAUCAUGAUUGCAUGUGUUGUACGUUUGUGCGUGCGUACGUAUUUAUAUGUAUAUAUUUCAACAACAUGAGGUACUUCAAAAUACCUCUGUUUUUUUUAUAAUAUUUUUUUCCCUUCUGUUUUAUUUUAUUUUAUUUACUAGGUUAACACCAAUCUAACCAAAUCACAUUUUAAUAAAACAAUAUAGAAAAGCUUGGGUAUAUGCAUCCUAUUGUUAUUUGCAUUUUAUUUACUAGGCUAUCAUUAUCUUCAUUACCUCGGUUUGGGAACGGAAGUACAAGAGAAUUAGGGCUGGUUUUGUAUUGAUGUACUUUGAAAAAAAAACUGCUUCUGCUGUGCUUUGAGAAUAAACAGCUGUGAAUAAAGUAGCAGAGUGUUUGGUAAACUUUUUUGUAAAAGUGCUUUUGGAAAAAAAAAAAAAAACAGUAUGAUAGUGGAUGUGGUAGUCUAGUGGGUUUCUGUGUUUCCAUUUCUAUUGUAGAUCGGCAAAGCCGUUUCUGGUGGGUUUCUGGGUUUUGUGGAGAUAGACAAAGGAGCACUGUUUUCUGGUUUGAGGGUGUUAUUGGACUUUUGAAAGUUUCAUUAAAGGAGCACUGUAGCUCCGCGUGUUUUGAAAAAAAAGUCAGUUUUUCAGCAGCAUUUUAGCUGCUUUAGUUUUUUUUAUGAUUUCAGCUUAUUCUCACAGCAGCUUCUAAAAUAAACCCUUUUAUUUGAGUUUACCAAACACCUUCAACAUAAAAACUUUGAAAAUAAGCAGCUUUUUUUUAAGCACCUCAAUGCCAAACCAUACCUUAGUGUUGAAUUUUUAUUAAUUAGCAAUUCUUUCAUCUAAACACAGUGUUAAUUAUUUCUUUUCAAUUAUUUGAGCUUUAGUCUAACUAUAAGAAAAGCAUGAGGUUUAGUCAUACUAAUAGGUGAUGAUGGUUGGUAAUGGGUUGUGUUCCAUAAACCCAUUCAUUUACGUGUCGAGACUUGUACUAGUGCAAAUUUCGGAUCAUGUCAUAAAUUAUCACCCUGAUCACCAUACACUAAAACCAAUUUGAAUGAUUUGGUCAAUUUUCUGUCUACUCCCAAUUAAUACAUUUUAUGCGAUGCAACUUCUUGAAAAGUAUUGUAGAUAUAACUAAAAGCUAACUCAUUUUAGGCCUUUUACUAAAUCGUAAAACCUCAUUGCCUCCAAAAGAUGCACAAUCGUUUUACAAAGUCUGCCAAGCCUUAAAAAUUAGGUUCAACAGGUUUGCGUUACAAUACUACCCAUAAAUUGCUCAAGCUAGCAAUUAUUCAUACUAAAAACGAAGGAAAAAAGAAGAAGAAAUGUGAUUGAUCAUGAGCAGGAGUAAUCCAACUUCUAAUCUAUCCAUUGUUUGUUUAGGGUAUUGAGAGACAAUAAGGACACGAUUCCAUCUCUUUAAAGCCUAAUUUCUUUCGUCUGAGAACUUCAACCUCUAGUACUAUAGCUUGGACCUAUCGCUUAUGUAAACUUGCCUUGUCGCUUUUUAUUUUCCUUAUAUUUUUUGUUCAUCACCAUGUGGCUUUUUGACCCAAUCAUACAUUGUCAUGUAGAAACAAAUUUGUACACGGCAAUGCAUUAUUGGACAAGAACCGCGACGCGGCAGCGAACCCAUUUCAAAUACGUUAUUCUCCCUAAUGGUUGGACAAUAUUUUUCAGAGAAAACAUUGGUUGGGGUCAAAUCCAAAUAGUAGCAAGCUUCAAAUAAAUUGUUUUUGCAAAUCAACCACCGGCCUUCCUCCUAACCUAAUGGAAAGUGCAAAAUCAUGAUCCUCGUAGGGUCUGGGUUCAAGGGUUGGUAUCCUGUGAAUUCGAUGCUCUUCAUCAUGCCUGUUCAAAAAAAAAAAAAAAAAAAAAAAAAGCAUAACACCAACCAUACCAAAUUCCAUUGAGAUAAAGGAAUACAAAGCUUAGUUAUAUGCAGUCUAUAUGAAUUAGAAGAUACAUCAUUGUAUAGGCAUGAGUAAAGGACUUCUGUGUUGAGGAAAUCCAUUUAUCUUUGUUUCCGGACCUAUGUCCGUACAAAUUUUGAGUUGUGUGAAAAUUGUUGCCCUGCUCCCCAUAUACUAAAGCCAAUUUUAAUGAUUCGGUCAAUUUUGGCCCACUACUAAAUAAACCAUUUUAUACUUAAUAUUUUUAUUCAAUGGUAUAACUUAUUAUUGUAUUUAGCGUCAACAACUUCACAUUCUUAUUUAAUAACCAUUUCGUUUUUAAUUUUACUUCUACUAAAGAUAGAUAAGAAAUAUAUUGAAGACAAAUAUAUAUAUAUAUAUAUAUAUAUAUAUAUAUAUAUAUAUAUAUAUAUAAAUGGUAGAAGAAGGAAGCUUGGAGGGAUGUUGAGCAAAUGUAAUGGAAUGAUAUAAAAAUUCAAAAAUACAAACAAAAAUCUAGAAACAAUUCUAAAUUGUUUUCACUUUCAACUUUUUAUUUCAUAUAUUUUCUUUCAGUUUUCCAAAAAAACAUAUAAAUGGUAGAAGAAGGAAGCAGAGGCCUUCACUUUCAACUUUUUAUUUUAUGUAUUUUCUCGCUUCACCCUCCUUCUUGAAACGAUGGGUAGAUUCAAAUAGAGGCCACAAGGACUGAUGUAUGUUUUAGUGAGACAUAAGAAAUGAGAGUAAAAAACAUAAGAACAAAAAUAGUAUCUCAUUCCAAAUAAUUUAAAAAGUAAAAUAAACGCACAAGAGUUUUUUUUUUUUUUUUUCAUCUCAUAUACAUACACAGGGAAACUUAUUCACCAAAUAUGGCUACAAAUGUCAAAUAAAAAAGGGAACUUUAACGAAAAGCACCUGAUACUGUUUACUUUAACGAAAAACCACAUUUUUACACUAAAAAGUCAAUCCUAGUACUAUUCACUUUACCCUUUAUUUUGUCAUUAUCAUUAAAACUCAAAAUUUUCAAACAUUUUUCAUUAGUUUUCCAAAUAAAAAAUGGUAUAUAAAUAGAGAUAAAAUUGGCUGGGCCCAAAUUCCAAUGAUAAGGACUAAGUUCUUUUUUUUUUUUUUUUUUUUUGUUCUUCGCAUGUGUUUGCACCGGCUUUCUUCUUAGCCUAGUGGUUAAUUGCACUGGCAAUGAUUCCUCAAGGUUAUGUAUUCGAAGGCUGGUACCGGCGAUGUGGAUGAUGAUGAAGUGAUGACUGGAUUAUUAUUAUCAAGAGAAAUGCUAUGGGACUCUUUGGGACAGAAAGGAACUUAAAUCAAAUGAGGUAUUCUAAAAUACCUCUGUUUUUUUUUUUCUUAACAUUUUCAAAUUCGGAACGCAUGAGCAAAAACUUAACACCUUAUCUCUUAUUCAUUGUUUCAUCAAGCUCAAUGUCUAAUCCCAACUCCUAACAAGCCAAUUGACUUGAUCCUUCAUUCAAAUAAUCCUAUAGCCUCAUUCACAUAUAUCCACAAAUUUGAGAAAUUUUUGUGUACACCCAUUACAGGUAUAUCACGUGUGAUAAUAUAAAGUGGGCAAUAAAGUUGAUAUUGUUGUGAAGAGAGAGGGUGUGGCAUAGAGAAGAGAAGGGGUUGAGGAAUUCUGUGUUGUGAAUCCUCAUGCCUAGUGUCUUUAUUUAUAGUAAUAAUAAAAAGAGAAGAACUUACACUCCAAGUAAUACAAGAUCAAAUAGGAAAGAUCUUUUAUAUUAAUUAAAAGAUAUAUCAUUGUAUAGGUACGGGUAAAGGAAGUUGAAUGCUAUCAUUUUUCAUAUCCUUCUUUGUCGAUUGUUUGAGUUUUAUUCCAACUAUACAGCAACACGAGCUCCAGUAAUAGUAAUGAACUUUUGUGCUUAGGAAAAAACCAAGGGGGUGUAUUCAAUUGGAAUUUUGAGGGAUUUUAAUUCUUUUAGUGAAUCUACGGGUAUUCAAUCAAGAUUUUAAGUGAUUCUCUGAAAUUCAAAGUGUAUUCAAUCAAGAUUUUAAGUUAGUUUAUUAAAAUUGUUAUAAAUCUGGGUGUAUAUUCAAUUAGGAUUUUAAAUAAGUUUAUAAUAUUCUAGGUGUAUUUAAUUAUAAAUUGAUUUUAAAGAAUUUGAAAAAGUUGAGGAAUUUGAGGGAAUUUGAGAGAUUUCAUAGUGUAUUUUAAGCAUCCACAAAUCUCACCUCUUCCCAUAAGAUUUCGAGAAAAUUGAAUCAAAAUUUUAUGUGGAAUCUCAACAAAUCAAUUAAACUCCAUAAAAAUCCUAGAUUUAUGAAUUCAUUAAAGUCUCUCAAAUUUUCAAUUGAAUACACCCCCUAAAACUAACAAAAACAAAAAUAAAUCCAUCACCCUCCCAAAUCAUCCACGAUGGGCAAGUCCCUGAUCAUCCAUCACCCUCCCCAGCCACAAAUAUCACCCCAUCUCUCUUUGAAUUCUGGUACUACCACCUCAACCCUCUCUUCCUAUUCCUCAUAGAUGAACAACAAAGACAACCUAGAUUUCCAAAUUGAAAAAUACCCAAUUCCAAUUGGAAUAGAAAUCCAUUUGGAGCAAUCUGCUUCUAUAUUAGAUCAAUCUCCCCUAUGUUUCUCUCUCUUUCCCCAUGUUUCUCUCUUUCUCCCCCUUUCGUUUCUCACUCUUUAAGGAGAUGUCGCCAAGAAGGUGUCAAAGGUUUUGGUUUUUUUAUGGGUGGUGGGAGGAGAUUCUGUCAUUCUGGUGCUGGAUAGGGUAGGCAAUUAAGGAAGCAUGCUGGUUUUCUUUAAAAACAUAUUAAUAUUAUUCUUUGAAAACAAAAAUAUAUUAGAGGUUAUUUUAGGAAUAAUGGUGGGUGGAGAAAUAAUAUUUUAAUUCUUUAUUUUUUGUGCUGGGUGAUAUUAUAAUGUAGGUGUAGAAAUAGGACAAUGGGAUUGGCCUAUCUACACCCUAUUUUUAUUCAAUGGUAUAACUUAUUAUUGUAUUUAGCAUCAAAACAUCUUCAAAUUGUCAUUUAAUAGGCAUUUUGUUUUUAGUUUUAGUAUUACUAGAGAUAGAAAAAAAAAAUUGAAGACAGAUAUAUAAAUGGUGAAGAAGAAAGCUUGGAGAGAUGUUGAGGAAAUGUAAUGGAAUGAUAUACAAAUUCAAACUUGCAAAUUAAAAUCUAGAAACAGUUUUAAAUUGUUUUCACUUUUAACUUUUUGUUUCGUAUAUUCUCCUUUAGUUUUCCUUCUUUUCUCCCACCACUCUCGCUUCAUUCUUCUUCUUGAAUCGAUGGACAGAUCCAAGUAGAGGCUACAAAGACCGACUUAUAUUGUAGUGAGACAUAAAAUAGUAUCUCAUUCUAAAUAAUUUUAAAACGCAGAACAAUAGCGUAUGAGCUUUUAGUUUUUAGAAUUCAUAUACGUAUGCAUAGGGAAACUUAUUGAUGCGAAAUACAUAAGCACACAAAUUAAACCCUUUUUUUAUCAAUUGUAGCAAAGUAUGUAAGUAGGGAUCGUUCUAGACCGGGGAUUAGGAGGGAUUGCUAAAUCACUUGAAAACUGACUCAAAUACGUAAAAACAAGUUUAAAACACUAAACCAGACUUAAAGAAUGCAAAACUAAACUUUAAAACACCAAAACAAACCAAAAGACUCAAAACAGCAAACAAACACUCAAAACUGCCUUAAAAACACUUUCUGGGCAGUUUUGACACCUAACACUAAAUUGGACGAAAUUGAGUUAUAACUUAACUCAAGACUCUUAAAAACACAAACUAAAUUAAUUUCUACUUAAUCUAACACUUUAAAAUAAAUGGGGAAUUGGUUUUGACGAAAAUUGAAAACAAAAACAAAACUUGUAAAUUAAACAGAUUCUAAAACGAAUUUGAGAAAAGUGAAUGGAUGGAAAGCUAGCUAAGGGGUUCUUCUCCACACAUGUCACACUUGCAUACAAAACGAUUUCCAAUUGAUUUUCGAUAAACCAUGAAUUCCCAACACCCCAGAUUAACCGUGAAUUGCACUAAUUAACCCUCAGAUUUUCCUUAAGUUAUUGAAUUGGAUGAAUUGCAUACGACAACCCAAAGCAUUCCCCACAAAUUCCCUACAUGAAUUGCAUAAUAGAGAUACAAGCAAGAAUCAUUAAGUUCUAUGAAAAUCAUAAGCAUUGGCGAAGCACUCGUUACUAUGAAUUGCAUGAAACUUAUGCCAAGAAUUUACUUAACACGAUUGUGAUCAACAACCUUUACUACUUGUGAAUAUAAGUUCAUAAUGAUUAGGUGAAACUCCCUUAUAUCCUAGCAUCAAACUUAUGCAUGAAAAUUAAGCGUGCACUCUCAACCAACAUACACAAAUCAGUUUUAAUUCAUGUAGAUAAGUAAAUUGAAUUCACAACUUAUGAAACACAAUUAGAAGUAAUCAAAUCAUAUAGCAAGUAUAAACAUGGUUUCGAAUUCCCCCUAGCCAAGGGGGGUUUAGUUCCUCAUACUCAUAAAGCAAAGAUACAUAAAUUUAGACAUUAAAAUCCAAAGAAAGAAAACACCUAGAUGAUCCAACUUGGACAGCAGGUGCAUCCACAAGUCUUGUUUCCUCCUUGCUACGGCACUUGGCCUAAAGUCAGGUUCUAGGGUGGUAUUUGUAUGGGAGAAUGGGUAGGGAAUGGUAUGGAAGGGUUUAGGAUUGAUGGGGGGUACGGCUAGGGUAAAAAGAAUCAGAAAAAUAUGGAAGAAUGGUGAAGGAAGGCUGUGGCAAAGAGAGGGAAUGAUUUCUGGCGAAAAUUCUGAAUAUGGAGGGGUGGUUGAUGUGUUUUUGAUGUAGUGUAAUCUCUAGUGUUCUUCCCUUCACUCCCUAUUUAUAGAAGCUCCAAAGCAAAGAAUCACUCAAGUGGCUUCAAUAAACAAUACAAACAAAGACCAAAAUGAUGCAAAAACAGCUAGUUUACAUGCUCUUUUAUCAUUGUGUCUUGCUUUUAACAAAAGGAAAUCAUUCCUCUUUUGCUAAUUCAACUCCUUUGUAGCUGUCCAUGUGCCUUCAUUCUUCAAUUUCUAAUGCAUUUGCCUUGUAUUCCAUCCCUUUUCCACAUGUACUAGCUGUUAGACUUUCACACACAUGUUUUGCAUCAUUUCAUCUUGCAAACAUCAACUUUCGGCCACUUUACACCUCUACACACAUGUUAUGCAUCAUUUCAGCUUGCAAUUAUGUUUGUAGUUGCUGAAAAUGUGAAUACAUCUUGUAAAGCAAUCCAACAAAUGGCAUCUUUCACUUCUUUUCCUUUCAAAUUGUUCCUUAAGUGUAUGUAUCUGCACACUUCCACACUUCAACUUUAUUAUUCAGAUUUUUGCAUGUGUUGAAACCCUUUUUAAAACACCAAAAACGUCCAUCCCACUUGCUCCAUAUGCAUGCAAUCCAUUUUGGCCCAAAAUUGCUCCAAAUUGCACCAAAAUGCACUUUCUUUCCAACUUUGUUAUUAGGACCUACAAACACACAAAAAUAGCUUAAAACAUUCUUAUAAGCAAUAACUAACUAAGUAAAUGCAAGAAAACAUGUUAACUAAGUCGCAUAAAUAUGCUCCUAUCACUUAUUCACCAAAGGUAGGUACAAAUGUCAAAUUGAAAAUGACACAUAUAGAGAGAAAAAAUUGGCUGGGCGCAAACUCAAAUAUUAGACUAAGAUCAUUUUUUAGCAUGCAUUUGCAUCGGCCUUCUCCUUAGCCUGGUUGUUAAUUGCGCUAGCAUGAUUUCGGAAGGUUCUAGCUUCAAAGGCUGGUAAUGACUUUGGUGAUUAUGAUGAAUUGGAGUAAUACUCGGGAGAUUAAAUUUGUGGAUAAUUAUUUAUCAAGGAUGCUGCUAUCUACAUAAUCCAUUAUCAAACAGGUCCAUAAACCAAAUGAGGUAUUCUAAAAUACCUUUGUUUUUCUUUAUUUUCCCAAAAACAAUAUGAAGACAAAGUGAAAUCCAUUUACAAAUGUAGCCCUUAUUUCCCUUAUUUUUAAAAUAUUCAUUAUUGAUGCAGUGCAUGACAAUUAAAAUGGUCCCUGUAUUAAACAUGUUAUUGGUGGCUUUUCAUCUUUCAAGGUCAUGUUUUAAUUAGACGUCUAGAAACUAUAAUCUUAGUAUUAAGUAUCUAUUCUACUAAUGUAUUGUAAUCUCUCUAUUUAAAGGACUCCAUAUGUAUGUUUAAGGGAGACUUGAUGAAUGAAAAAUUAUAUUUGCCUUGUGCAUUUGAAGAUGAUUUCUCCUCCUUAAAAUCAAGUGUGAGACUUGGUCAUGUCGAGUGAAUCCAUGAUUAGCAAGUAUCGUUGCCCCUGGUUGAAUGAUUCCCAAGUCAUCUAUCCCUAUAGAGACGUGAAGUGGCAUCAGAGUAAGUUUUCCGCUGCGGUUGAAGAUCAUGGUUGUGAUUUACAAUCUUUUUGCAGAGCACCCUGUCGAAGAAAUCAGUUUCGUAGAUUGAAAUUCUCCACCAAUUUACGAUGAGUAUGUUGAUGAUGAUGACGACCUCAAAGAGAACUUUUUCGAUGGGUGUUCUCUACUAAUUUAUGGCAAGCAAGAUGAAGAUUACAAAGCUAUGUUUAAGGUGGUUAAUCACCAGUGUUGUUUGCAAUUUGGAGUCGAUGUCAAUCAUGCCCAAAUUGUUUAUGAAUACUGCUUUGGUGACAAAGGAAUGAGUUUGUCUGUGAAAGAACGGUGCGUGCAUCAUCAUAACGAGGUAAUAUUUGACCUUGAUACCCAUUAUAUAUGUGACUACAUUUGGGAACCCUUUAUUGCUUUCCACAUUAGGAAAAUACACUUGGAGCAAAGUAUUUUUUUCGUCAUCAAUAUCAAAAGGAAAUUUGGAAGACUGAUGUGCAUUUUUCAAAAGAAAAUGUUGCUAUCAUGAAACAGCUAAGGGGUGCACAGAACUUGAGAAAAUUUUGGAAAGUAAAAUACUUGGAAUAUUCUACUAUAUGGAUUUGCUUAUGGAUUUGGAAAAGUUUUGUGCUAAACUAGCUAUAUGGAUUUGCUCAUGGAUUUGGAAAAGUUUUGUGCUAAAUCUAGUAGUAUUUUAGUGACAAGCGGGAUCACCCAUCUUUGGCAAACUUGCACGUCUGCCGCUUCAUCUUCUCCUAAUGUCAUGCUAGAGGCUAGGUUGGCGAGAGCGUUUGCCAUUUGAUUUUCUUUUCUUGGCACAUGUUCUAGUGUUACAGCCUCGAACCUUUGCAGCAAUUGAGUUGCCAGCCGAAAGUAUGGGACAAGAUCAUCUUUCCUCACCUCAUAUUCAGUCAAGAGUUGAUUGAUUAUGAGCUUUGAGUCGUCAUAUACCUCAAGGGUUGUGGUUUCCAUGUUGAUCGCCAUUUGGAGCCUAAUGAUCAAUGCUUGGUACUCAGCGACGUUGUUGGAGCAUAAUUUACUCAGUUGAAAGGAAUAAGGUAGUAUUUGCCUUUAUGGUGACAUGAUACUCAUGCCCCUGCUCCGUCUGCUCAUGCAGAUCCGUCGAAGAACAUCGUCCAUGUCGGGAAAAUGUUGAUGUAGAACACCUCCUUGUCAGGCAAGUCGUCUGAGAUUUUCCAAUCAGCCAGGAUUGGGUGAUCGGCAAGGAAGUCUGCAAGCGCUUGUCCCUUAACGACUUUAGCUGGAAUGUAGAUGAUCUCAUAUUAAUUAAGAAGCAGAGCCCAUUUAGCAAGUCGCCCUGUCAAGACCAGUUUGGACAUGAUGUAUUUGACCGGGUCAGCUUUAGCAACCAGGUGGAUGGUGUUAGCGUGCAUGUAAUGCUUGAGCUUCUGGAUGGCAAACACUAAGGCAAGGCAUAUCUUUUCUAUUGAGGAGUAGUUUAACUCAGCACCGGUAAGAGUUCGACUGAGGUAGUAAAACACUUAUUCUUUCUCGGAUUCAUUCUUUUAUGCCAAGAGUGCUCCAACUGAACUUUCUUGGGCAGCGAUGUACAAUAUGAGCAAUUUCCCAGGCACAGAUGCCCCCAGGAUAGGUGAACUUGAUAAAUACUUUUUUAUGCUUUCAAAAGCAUUGUGGCAUGCUUCAUCCCAUACGAACGGAGCAUUAUUCUUCAUGAGUCUACUGAACGGUUGACAACGCCCUGCAAGGUUGGAGAUGAAGCGUCUGAUGAAGGCUAGUCGUCCUUAUAGACUUUUCAGCUCGUGCAUGUUUCUUGGCUCAUGCAUGCUUUAAUGACCUUGAUCUUUGAUUAGUCCAUUUCAAUGCCACGGUGCUUGACAAUGAAGCCGAGGAAUUUUCCAGAGGUGAUGCCAAAUGCACACUUUAACGGGUUCAUCUUGAGGUUGUAUUUUCGCAGCCUUUCAAACACUAUUCGUAAAUCCUUCAAGUGAUAUGAUCUUUUCUUUGUCUUGACCACCACAUCGUCUACAUAACACUUUACGUUUUUAUGUAGCAUGUCAUUGAAUAUUUUUUGCAUUGUGCGUUGAUAUGUAGCUCCAGCGUUCUUCAGACCAAAUGGCAUCACCUUGUAGCAGUAGAUACCUUUUGGAGUGCGGAAGGCUGUUAGUUCUUCAUCUUCGAAAGCCAUGUGAAUUUGAUUGUAUCCAGAAGAGCCGUCCAUGAAUGACAGUGCCUCAUGACCAGUGGUUGCGUCUACCAUGAUUUCGAUGAUUAGCAAGGGGAAGUCAUCCUUCGGGCAAGCAUCGUUGAGGUCCCGAAAGUCUACGCAAACACGUAUUUGUCCAGAUUUCUUAAGGACAAUAACGAUGUUGGAGAUCCAAUUAUGGUAUUGCACCUUUCGAAUGAAGCUUGCUUCGAUUAGCUUGUCAAUCUCGACCUCAAUUUGUGGGAUGAGCUUGGAUCGAUAACGCCUUUGAGUUUGCUUUAUCGGUCGUGUUCUAGGCUUUACUGCAAGAUGAUGCACAACGAUGACAUGGUCAAGGCCAGGCAUUUCCUUGUAGGUCCAACCAAAGACGUCUUUGUACUCUAAUAGCAGUUGGUAAUACUUCUCUAUCUCAUCCGUACUUAGCAGUGCACUUACGAAGAUAGGUUUUGGUUUUUCUUUUGUGCCUAAGUUGAGUUCCUUGAGAUCAUCAAUCGUGGCUUGCCCCCAUCUUCAAGUUGUGGUGGUGCGGCAGUGACAUCUUCCUCGGGGAUUUCGUGUUCUUUUCCUUCUUGGAUUGUAAUGUGGAAGACGUCUUGGACUUCCUCUUCAAUGCCGUCAUUUUGGGCUUAUUGGCGUGAAAGUUGGCCGGUGCGGAUGAUGGUGCGCCUUCUCACUUUCAGUGAUCCAAUUGUGUCAACCUCCAAGAUUGCUUGGCGUUUCAUUCUUGAAGGAAUAGAGCUUUGAACAUCAUCUUUUCCUGCUAGAUCGUCAAGCUUUUCUUUCUUUGGCAUUGUCUCCCUCUUUCUAGAAGGCUUCUUGUUGUCUUCAAUUCUUUCCAAAGUUGACCAUCGUAGAUGAGAGUUAGCAGUGUUGCUUUGUUUCUUAGGUUUUGACAACCUUUUGAAAACAGAGCUUUGGGAUGUUGGCGUGUUAAACCUCUUGAAAACGGAGGUUUGGUCUUGACCACCAAUGCGGUCAAGUGUCGAAAUUCUGGGCCUUGAACGAUUCAUCCUAUCGAAGACUGAUGUCCGAGGGGCGGACUUAGGUUCUUCUUGAUCUUGUUCAAUGCUCACGCUGAUGUGUUGAGUGCUAGCAUUUUUUGCUUUGCUUGAAAUCUUCACGGGUGCAUUUGGUGUGAAGCCAAUUCCAGUUUUGUUGUUGUCGACUCUGUAACCAUGCUUCUUCAGCUUUUUUUGAGUCUCGGUGAGGUCACGUUUUUUGUUUUGAUGAUGUUUGAAACCUUCUUUCCAAGAUUCGAAGAAGAAGCGAAGUUGUACCUAGCCUUCGACAUGAGUUUGUAGGCGUUUGGAUCAAAACCUUCUUCGGUCUUCUUGGUUGGAAAAAAGCUUGGUUCCACCCCCUUUGGCAGAGCUUUUAUGAAGCCUUAUGGUAGUCUUGCAACCUUAGCGUUGCCUAGCUGUGUCAGAGGCAAAACUGUAUUCAUCUUGAGCAACUUUACGUUAUCCUUGUGUCGUUGUGCAUCAGCUUUGCUUACUCCAGUUUCAAACAGGGAUUGACCAUUCUUUCUUCUCGACAUCGGGAUGUAUCGGAAUACAGGUGUGCUUAGUCCAUUUGAGGGAGUCCUAUUCCCUUUGGUUGUUACAGGUUUAGCAGACUCAUUAUCGUUUUUGCUUGAAGAUGGCGUAGCUUCUCCUUCUUGCUUUUUGGGCAUGGCUUGCCACUUUUGUUUUUUAGGUGUUACUUUGCUCGUGGAUUUGAUCUCUUUUGGGAGGGCUUCGGGCACCAUGUCUUCCUCCAUGUAGAACUUGGCGUCUGCGAAGUGUGAUUCUGUUUCGGUGAAUGGCUUGGUAUCACCUACAAUCACCUUCACUUCUUCCCGGUAGAAUUUUAAACAUUGGUGGAGGGUGGAUGACAUUACUCCAUUCCUGUGGAUCCAAGGCCUUCCUAAGAGCAAGUUGUAGGAAGUUCUUGCAUCAAUCACGUGGAAUAUCGUGCUUGAUUUGAGUUCAUCAAUGGCCAUUUCCAUUCGGAUCAUGCCCAUCGCUCUUUGUCCUCCUUGAUUAAAACCUUGGAUUAGUAGACGGCUUAGGGAUAGUUCAUCCACCUUGAUGCCAAUUGUGGUCAUUGUUGACUUUAGCAUGAUGUUUAUGGCCGAUCCACCAUCCACAAGCAUGUGGUUGACUUUAUGCUCCCUUACGUACCCAGAGACGAAGAGAGGACGGUUGUGAGGCUUAGAUCCUAGCAGCAAGUCUUCGUCAGUGAAGUGGAUUGCAUCUUAGGCAGUACAACACAUGGCAUACUCAUGUGGUCAAAGUUUCAAGUCUUCGUCCUUACUUUCUUGCACUUCAUGGUUGUCAGGACUUGCUAAGACCGCUGCUAGAGCUCUUCGCAUCUUCUUUGGCAAUCGUAGUGCUUCUUCGAUGCUAAAGUGUGUUGGAAGACCUUCUUUGGUCGUGAGGGUCUUUUCUUCCUCAGUGGUGAUAGCUUUGCCUUUUGAGGGCUCUUCCAUCUCUACUUCAACCAUGUGACAGGCGACGGUAGUGCACUGUUGGAAGAAGUCAUUCGGGAAGUACUCGUGUAAGGAGACAGGAAUGCGUGGCUCUUGCUUCAUAAGUUCCCCAGCAUAUGUUGGCUUAGCAGCUCUUGCGUUUCUUUUGGGUUUCCUAUUGUUGCGACGGCAGUGCUUUCUCCUUUGCUCCCCAUUUAGCCUUAUGGCUUGCAGUCUUGGCUUCCUUUUUUUUUAUAGGUCAUAAAUGUCCACCCUUCUUCAUCAUCAGUAAGUGCAUCUUGGUUGUUUUCCCCCAGUGAUGGUUGUGCAGAAGGUGCCAUGCAGCUUGAGCAUUGACGGGAAUUGUCAAGUGUCACUUGGAGAGGCACGGGAUCGAAUGAUCCAAACGCAAUUGUAGUAGUAUGUGUUGUGGUUGUGUCUUCAAGGUCGAGCUCAAUUUGCCUUUGUUGCACUAGCUUUAUGAUGAGUUCUUUGAGGAUGAAGCAUUUGCUAAUAGGAUGGCUCACGAUAUGAUGAUACUUGCAAUACCUAGGAUCGUUUAUGUGAUUCAUCUCUUCAAGGCGUUUGCAUUCUGGUAACUCGAUCACCUUCUUUUUUAGCAAGUCGUCUAACAUUGCAUCCAUGUCUGAGUCAGGAAAAGUGUACGUCUUUUGCUCCAACUCCCUCAAGGUGUUUUUGUACUUGUCUUGGGUGUGAGAAGGCUCAUCUCUUUAUUUCCUUCGCUUUGUUCUUGGAGGAGAUUUUGAUAGGCUUGGAGUAGGUCUUGAUAGGGGUAGUGUUCAUGGUAAAAGCUUCUUUGGCGAGCUUCUUCCCAGUCUUGUCUACAUUCGGGAUGAACACUUUAUCCUUCUUGAAGUUGGUGAUCGGCUCCUUCUUCCCAUGAUGGGCGAUGCUUAGCUCCAUGUCGUAGGAACGAGUUGCCAGCUCCUCAAAUGUUCUUGGUUUUAUGCCUUGAAGGAUGUAAUGUAACCCUUAGUGCAUGCCUUGAAUGCAUAUCUCAAUGGCGGAGGUUUUAAAAAGUCAAUCUUUGCAAUCCAAACUUAAUGAACGCCAUCUAUUAAUGUAGUUGACGACAUGUUCAUCCUUCCAUUGUUUCGUAUUGGUCAGUUCCAGCAUGCUUACAGUGCGGCGCGUGCUGUAGAAGUGGUUGAGAAAUUCCCUUUCUAGUUGAUCCCAACUGUUGAUAGACUCGGGCUCGAGGUCAAUGUACCAGUCAAAUACGUUACCCCUUUCUAGUUGAUCCCAACUGUUGAUAGACUCGGGCUCGAGGUCAAUGUACCAGUCAAAUACGUUACAUUUCAGCGAGCACACGAACUGCUUGACGAGGUAGUCUCCCUCGGUCCCAGCAUUGUUGCAUGUUUCAAUGAAAUAUGCGACAUGUUGCUUUGGGUUUCCCUUUUCAUUGAACUGCAUGAAUUUUGGCGGCUGAUAUCUCAUCGGCAUCUUCAAAGCUUCAAUCUUCUUGGAGUAGGGUUUUGAGUACAGCAUAGAGUCAUGUGAGCUUUCUUCGUAUUGCGUCCUAAUUGUGUGUGCGAUCAUCUUCUACAGUUGCUAGAUAGAGAGAGAUCCCAUGAACGCAGUUGCUUGGUCUAGCUUCAACUUCUCUUCAACUUUCUCUGCAGGAGGCUCCUCAUCCUCGUCGUUUUCCUUCUUUAGUGGAUUAACCUUUGGGUCGACUUUCACGUUGGGCUUCACAUCUAGUUGGUUGACGAGUGCGGCGAUUUGCAAGUCUUUCUCCUCCACAGUCUGUGUGAGUUUUGUGAUCGCUUCAUUCAUUUGAGCCAGCUACUCAUCGAUUGAAGUUGCUCCGGUAAUCAUGACUUGAAUGUCUAUGUUACUGCUUGAAUCGGCAUCGGAAAGUAAGGGCUCUGAGUAUUUCCUCGGGCUUUCCUCUCUUGGCGUCCUUAGCGAGGCCAGGGUGAUCACAGGCUUGUGCUUCGGGUGCUCUUGUUCCUUCGGCGGAGUUGAUGCAAGGGUGGAAGAGGCGGCAAAAAGAGCUCUUUCCUUGGUGGUGAGAACAUCUUGAACCUUCUUUGAUUCCAUUUGUGUUGUUUCUUUUUUUUUUUUGAGUAUUCGAAGAUAGAGAUGAGAGGUAGAGAUAGUCCCACUGGGCGUGCCAAAUUUGUAAACACGAAUAUUCCUGCAAUGAAUGAGACAAGAACACGUGUACAAAAUAAUAUUUGUAUUAAUGAUUUAGGGGUUACAAUCUCUUCUACAAAUUUAGCCUCUGAUUCGAUCGUUGUAAUGUGUAGAUUUAUGGAUUGUGCUGUUGAUCCAAGGGCCGUUGGGGCUUGAUAUUGAAGGUUGACGAACGGAUCUUCAAGGGGCUUUUGGGCUUGAUCUUGAAGAACGGUUGUGUGGAUUUCUUCAAGGGCUUUUGGGCUUAAUCUUGAAGGUUAAUGGGUAAACGGAUCUUCAAGGGCUUUUGGGCUUGAUCUUGAAGAACAGUUGGAUGUGUGGAUUUGUUGAUGUUGUUGAUGUUAUUGAUCCAAAGGGUCGUUGGGGCUUGAUCUUAGGAUGAACGGACAAUGAACGAUGAACACUUUCUUCAAGGGCCGUCGGGGCUUGAUCUUGAAUUGGUGGAAGUUCUUCAAGGGCCAUUGGGGCUUGAUCUUAAAGGAGGAUUUAACGAAGAACGAAGAACGAAGAAGGCUUUCUUGAUCGUUCGGGAUUUGCUUGAGGGCUUUAGAGUUUCAAAGCUUCAAGGUUUUGGUGUGAUGUGAAUUGGUGUCUUUAUCCCUUGAUGGAGAAGCCUAUUUAUAGGCUUUGAGAAUGAAUCACCACCAUCCAUUUGUUUUGAUGAAGUGAGUGGAUGUUGUAGGUGAAGUGAGUGCAUGAUGUUGGUGAAAUGAGUGGAGGUUGUAGGUGAAGUGAGUAUAUGAUGUAGGUGAAGUGAAUGAAUGUUGUAAUUUUAAUGCAUUGGUCAACAUUUAUUUCACCAAAAUUUCGAGUUCUACAGAGGGUUCUAAACUUUACAUUAAUUUAAGAAGAAGAAAUUUCGAACUCGGACCGCAUGUGUGAAAACCUAAUACCAUAUUCCUUAUUUCUUCUUGUUUCAUCAAGUUCAAUGCCUAAUCCUAAGUCCUAACAAGUCAAUUGACUUGAUACUUCAUUGAACCAAUCAUAUACUCUCAUUCACAUAUAUCCACAAAUUCGAGAAAUUUUUAUGUAUACUGAAAUGUAAGAUGGUACACCGUGCAUUAUAAUAUAAAUAGACGUUAAAGUUGACGUGUCCAAUUUUAAGAUAUAUUUUCGAAGGAUUCACAAAUUUAUGACCCUUUAGUUCUCUCAAUAAAUAAAAUAAAAAUCAAUUCACAUGAAAAGAACCAUGCUUCCACAAUCAAUUCAUAAGUUGGCAUGCCUCAUUUUAAGAUAUAUUUUCAUUUUUGUCUCAAUUUUUUUAUUUUUUUAUUUUAUUUUUUUUGCAUUUUUAUCCAUGUAGUUUCAAUUUGUUUUCACUUUAGAAUUGAUUCGUAUGGCUCUAUUGUGUCUGUCGAGUGGUAACUUUUCCUCUUUAGUUUCCUUUUUUCUCAAUAUUGGGUAUCUUGCCACUUUCUAUUAUGGCUUCAUCCUUUGCUAAUGGUCAGGUGGCUCAAGGUUGAUUCGUCUUGUGUUAACGAACGGGCUGAAUUUGGGGGGAUUUUUCGCUCAUCGGAGCAUGGGGCACUUGAAACACAAAAUUUGUAAGUUUAGUUGCUGCAAAAAUUCUUGUUUUCAUUGAGGCCGUACGUAUAGCUUGGGUCAGAGAUUGGAAACAUUUGUAGAUUGAAACAAACUCCACGUUGGUUAUUCACUAUCUUUUUAAGGCUUCUAAUGCGAUCCAUUGAUUUUAAUUGGUUGAUUGGAAGAAUUGUCUUUGGCGACUUCGUCAAAUGUGAUUUAUGUGUACCUCCAUUCUUCCUUCCUCCAGCACUAUCAUGAACCUCUCUAGAUGACAUCUCUCUCAUCUCACCCCUCUUUCUUUUCUCUCUUCUCUUCAAGCCAAAGUCGGCUGCUGAUUUUUCGAGAUUUGGGGGAGAGGAGCGGCUAAUCUGAAAGACGGGUUGGGAUUUGAUGUGUUGAUGAGUUUGGAUAGUACUGUGUUUGUCUUCCUUUUGGUGUGUUGGUUUAUGGGUCUGCUUCAAAUUGCCCAGAUUGCCAAUUGUACUGAAACUCUCUAUAUUGUACCGAAACCGAAUUGGUACUGAAAGGUUCAGUACACCUUUGGUUCACCAUCAUACUAUACCGUACCGGUACUGAAAUUUUGUUUUAGGUUCGGUUUCAGUUCCACCCCAUCCUGAACAAUAUUGUGCCCACCCUUAGUUUCUACGUGUGAUGGUCCUCACCCCUUUGGUACCUUGCGCGCGACCAUUGUCGAUGAGCUACCUAUUCUCUCUCCAUUUAAAUUAAAAAGAAAAACUAAAAACAAAAACAAAAAAAAACAAAAAAUAAAAAAUAAAAAAUUGUUUCAUGUACUCUUUCGGUUUACCUUCCUUUCCCCCACCGCUAUUGCUUCACCCUUCUUCAUGAAUCGAUGGACUCAAAGGUCCAUGUAUGCUUUAAUGAGACAUACAACAUUGGAGUGAAAAAUAUGAGCAUAAACAUACAGUAUCUCGUUCCAAAUACUUGGGGAAACAACUUCACCAAAUGUAAGCUACAAAUGUCAAAUUAAAGAUGAUAUAUAUGAAAUUGACUACUCAAAUGGUGAGGACUAAGUUCAUUUUUGAGCAUACGUUGGCACUGGCCUUCUUCUUAACCUAGUGGUUAAUUGGGCUGGCAUGAUUCCUCAAGGUACUGGGUUCGAAGGCUAGUACUGGCUCUGGCGAUGAUGAUGAUGAUGAAUGGAUCUUUAUUCAAGAGAAAUGCUAUGCUAAGGGACUCUCUCUCUCUCUCUCUCUCUCUCUCUCUAUGUAUAUUAUCAAGCAGGUCCUUGAACCAAAUGAGGUAUUCUAAAAUACUUCUGUUUUUCUAUAAUUCCAUACGGAAAAGGGAAUGAAGACAAUCUGUAAUCCAUUUGCAAAAGUAUCCCUUAUUUAUCCUUUUUAUUUUAUUUUAGAAUUUACUAUAAUUUGAGGGAGGUGAGAGUUUCGAGUUCGUGAUGCAUAAGUAAAAUCUCAACACCCUAUAUUAUUUCUUAUUGUCUCAUCAAGCUCAAUGCCUAAUCCUAAAUCCUAAGAGCAACUCCAGUGGGAUGAAUCGCUAGAGGGACAGUGGGAGCAACAGGGCUGGAUCGCCCGAGGGAGCAAGGCCAGCGUUGGCUAGCGAGGGAGCUGGAGGGACAUCGGGCGCCGGCCCUUGAGCCCGAGAUGGGUUUGACGUCAGUUGACAUCAGACGCCUUUAUUAAAUUUUUUUCUGUUAGGCGCGUGCCAUUCAAGCGCGCGUCAGGAGACACAAAAUCAGAAAAUGGGCCCACGGUGCAAAUUUUUUUUGUUACCGUUGGGGAGAAACGUGGCUUCCCCACGGCCGUUGGAUUUCAACGGAUAUAAAUUGUGAACCGUUGGAUUUCCAACGGUAAAAAAAAUAAUAAAAACUUCAUUUAAUAUCACCCGUUAGAUCUGAGAUCAACGGUUCACAUUAUUAGACUUUAAAAAUUAAAAAAUCAAAAAUAUUACCGUUGGGCCACGUGGCACAAUCUGGAGUGUUGGAAUUCAAAUUGGUUUAAAUCCAAUGGUAUAGAUUAAUUAGGUGAAUAAAUUUUUUUUUAAAAUGUAAAAAAUUAUUAAAAAUCCGAAAAAAAAAAUUUGAAAAAUUAAAAAAAAAAAUUGAUUUUACUUUUUUAUAAAUACCUUCUCAUUAUCUUCUACCUUACACCACAAUUUCAUAUCUUCUCAAAGUUUCAAUCCAAUUUCAUAUAUUGUCAAGUUUGAAUCCAAUUUCAUAGUUUUAUAUAUUUACUUUUCUAUAAAUUCAACAUAUAUUGUCAAGUUUGAAUUCAAUUUCAUACUUUUAUAUAUUUACUUUUCUAUAAAUUCAACAUAUAUUGUCAAGUUUGAAUUCAAUUUCAUACUUUUAUAUAUUUACUUUUCUAUAAAUCUAAUUUCAUAUAUUGUCAAGUUUCAAUCCAAUUUCAUAGUUUUAUAUAUUUACUUUUCUAUAAAUUCAACAUAUAUUGUCAAGUUUGAAUUCAAUUGCAUACUUUUAUAUAUUUACUUUUCUAUAAAUCUAAUUUCAUAUAUUGUCAAGUUUCAAUGCAAUUUCAUACAUAUCUUUCUUAAAUACAUACCUUUUCUAUAAUCUACUUUUCUAUCUUUCUAUAAAUCUAAUUUUAUAUAUUUGCUUUUUCUUAAAUACCUAUCUUUCUCUCAAAGUUUCAAUCCAAUUUUUUCCCAAGAAAAUGACUAAUGAUGCAGGUACGAAUUGGACGCUUACUGAAGAUGUUACGUUGUGUACUAGCUGAGUUGAAGUUAUUCAUGAUCCGAUUUCGGGUAAUGAGAUGCAGUUGAGAGAAAUGUGGGGUCUUAUUCAUACCAAUUAUCUUGAGAAAAUUGGUGGGAAAAGAACCAAAGAAUCUUUGUCCAGUCGUUGGAGACUACUGAGCAAAUCAUUUUAUACAUGGAGAGACGCCUUGGCACAAGCUAGUGCUAAUCUUCGAAGUGGGGAAAGUUUAGCGGAUCAGGUAACGAUAUAUUUUUUAUUUGUUUGUACUAUACCCAAAUUUACAUUACCUACUUUGAUUAUAAUUAUUUCUUCUCCCGCAUUGUGUAGGACCUUCAAGCACAAGCUUGGUAUAAUGCCAAAACCACAAGCAAAAAUAAAUCGUUCAACCGAUGGGAGUGUUGGAAUAUUGUCAAAGAUUGUCCUAAAUUCAAAGUUGUGCCUAUCGGUCCAGAAGUGGUCUUUAACAGCACCCCUCUACACUCUACGCCCGAUCAUGCCUCGCAUGAUCAUGAUGAAGAUGAUGCAGAAGACGUGCCCGAAACGCCUCCCGUUGAACAAGCGUCGGGGCCGACCCGUUUUCCAAUUAGGUCUCAACAAGGUAGGAAGGCUUCAAAGAGAAAAGGUAAUGCUUCCAAGAAUGAUUAUGCAAAGUAUAUGGAAGAACUUGCCCGCCAAGGUGAAUUGAGUUUGGCCCGGGAAAUUGCCAAAUUUGAGGCUGAUAAGGCUAGAGAAGAUGCAAAAGCUGCAGCUAUUGAGAAAGAAUUUCAAGCUAAUGAGAGAGAAAGAGAACUACUUUGGCAAGAAAGGGAAUAGGUUAGAGAAGAAAGAAUGGCUCAACGAGAUCGUGACAUUAUGAAGGAGCCUUUAGAAGGGAAGUCUCCAAACUCUAAAUAUUUUUGGAAGACGGAGAAAGCGGACGUGGUGCGAAGGAGGCGUGCAAGAGAAGCGAGAGCAAGAGGAGAUGGUCCUAGCACGACAAGAGAAGAGCAUCCUAGCACCACAAGAGAAGAUCAUCCUAGCACCACAAAUUGGUUAGGUGAUGAUUAUCCAUUCACGAACCCAUAAUUUUCCAAUCACUUUGUUUGUAAUCGGAGCCCAUAAUUUUCCAAUCAAUUUGGGUUGUAAUUUCUUAUUUAUUGAAUAGAGUACUUUAUGUUGUUUCCAAUUUAAAUAAUUUAGUACUUUAUUUAAACUAAGAGUAUAUUUAUUUAAUUUGGUAAUUUAUUUAUACUAAGAUAAUCUUUAUUCAAAACACAUUUAAACACACCAAAUAAAAUUAAAUCAACAUACCAAAUAAAAUUACAUCAACACACACCAAAUCAAAUUACAUAAACAUACCAAAAAAAAAAUCACUAAAUGAACUUAAAAAAACACACCACAUAAAAUUAAAUAAACACACCAAAAAACAAACACUAAUGAACUUAAGUAUCUUCAACUUGUUUCAAUUCUCACUGGUGCUCUAUCAAGUCAAUUUGGCGGGCAUUGUGCAUAUAUGGCCUUUGAAGUGCAGUAUAUCGUUGAAUGACCCUAUCAUUGUAACAUCCAUCCCUUUAUAAUGGCUCGUGUUGCACGGGUUCUUCGGUGGCGUCAUGAGCAUAAUAUAUUUGUGUUCUAGAAUUGUUCAUCGUGUCUGGCUUAUAUUCAUCAACGGCAUCAUAAUCGUACUCAUCUUCCACAAUCAUGUUGUGAAGAAUGAUGCAUGUCAUCAUGAUGGAUCGAAGCGACUCUAAAUCAAACAUUCUGGCAGCACCCCUAACAAUCGCCCAGCGAGCUUGGAGGAUACCAAAACAACGCUCCAUAUCCUUCUUGCACCCUUCUUGACAACUUGCAAAGUGUUUUUCCUUUGUACUACGCGGACGUGGCACUGUUUUGACAAAUGUUUCCCACCUUGGGUAAAUGCCGUCUGCUAAGUAGUGACCCGUCGUACUUAUGUCCGUUGACAUAGUAUGUGACUUUUGGUGCCUUUCCUUGCAGGACAUCGUUGAACACUGGGAUUGUGCAAGCACGUUGAGGUCAUUUUGAGCUCCUGGAACCCCGAAAAUGGCAUGCCAAAUCCAUGUAUCGAAAGAUGCCACCGCCUUCAAAAUGAUACUUUUUAUCCUUUUCCGUCCCCAUAAGCGCCUUGCCAUGCACUUGGACAAUUUUUCCAAGUCCAGUGCAUACAGUCAAUGCUUCCAAUCAUCCCUGGAAAACCUCGCAUCUCCCCUUUCUUCAGAAGCCUUUCUAAGUCCAUAUUAGUAGGUAUUCGGAGGUAUUAUGCGGUGUAGAUAGAUUCGAUUGCCGAGCAAAACCUCAUCAGGGACUCAAGAAUGGUUGAUUUUCCCAUCCUCGCCAUCUCAUCCACUUGGUCUGCAAAUGCUCCAUACGCAAGCAUCUACAAGGCAAUAGUAAUUUUUUUGCUCAGGCAAAAGACCCAUAGCACCAAAAGCAUCCGGCUUUUGCACAAAGUAAGAAUCAUGGUUGCAAACAGCACCCAUGAUUUUGUUGAACAAAUGACGUUCCAUUAUAAAACGACGUCUAAAGUACGUAUCAGGGAAUGCACUGUUACAGACAAAAUAAUCGUCCAAGAGAUACUCACCUCAUCGUUGCCUGUCUCUACCAAUGUUUACAUCACGGCUGGGCCUGCAGAUUUGAGCCACAGCUUGGAUGACUCAACGGGAAUGUGAGGCUCUUGCCAUUCUUGAUUCGUCGUCUCUCCUUCUACGCUCCUCAUCCUCUUCCCUCUGAUUUUGGGCCGCCUGGCGUUUGAACAUUCCUUCUAAUUGGUUAAACAGUUCUUCCUCUUGCUGAUCAAUUUCCCACAUCAUCCUUGAGGAAGAAGAAUACAUUGUAAGAAGGAAGCAAAAACUAUGAAUAAUGAUAGAGAUUUAGGUGAAUAAGAAAGCAGAAACUAUGAAUAAUGAUAGAGAUCUUGAGAAAAUUGGUGUGAGAUUUCUGAGGAUGGAUCAUGGAUUAUAUGGAGAAUUCAGAAAGGAUUAGGUUGUAGAUAAUGCCAUGUGGCAUGCUGUCAUUCGUUAAAAAUCUGGUGAAAAUCUAUCAUCAAAUAUUGUAAACAGAUUGUAACAUGUGAUGCGACGUGAUUGGUUAAAAAUUUUAUCGGAAAUCCAUCACCAAUAAUUGUCUUUUCAGAUAAUGACACGUGGCGCAACGAGAACGAUUAAAAAUCUUAUCGGAAAUCCAUCACCAAUAAUUGUCUUUUCGGAUAAUGACACGUGGCACAACGAGAACGAUUAAAAAUCUUAUCCGAAAUUACGAAUAAAAUUAUUUUGUAUUAUUUUAUAAAUAAAAAACAUUCUAUUAUUUUAUUGCUAUAUUCUUUUCGAUUAAUAACACGGGGCUCAACAAGAACGAUUAAAAAUUUUAUCCGAAAUUACAAAUAAAAUUAUUGUGUAUUAUUUUAUAAACUAAAAAAAUAUUAAUAUUUUAUUGCCAAUUGUCAGGGCUAUUGAGUGCAGGGGUGGAGAUGCAAAAUGCGAUUACUGUUCAUUAAGGGCAGUUACUGUUCAUUGGGUGGAUAGCAUAGUGGAUUGCCCUAGGGAGAAUGGAUCAUGCUGGAACUGCUCUAACAAGCCAAUUGACUUGAUCCUUCAUUGAACCAAUCCUAUAGCCUCAUUCGCGUACCACAAAUUCAAGAAAUUUUAAUAUAUUUCCGGAACGCGAGAUGGUACACUACAUAUUAUAAUAUAAGUGGACAAUAAGGUUAUGUUCCAUUUUAAGAUAUAUUCUUCAAUGACUCUCCACAUAUUCAGUGACCCAGUAAAUGUGUCAAAAAAUAAAAUAAAAAACAAUCCACAUGACAAAUUGUGCUACUAUUAAUCCCCGACUUUCACUCCAUAUGGAAUCAUGCUUCCACACUCAAUCCAUAAGUUGGUAUGUCCCAUUUUAAGAUAUAGUUUCAUUUUUGUCUUUGCCUUUUUUUUCUUGUAUUUCUUAUCCAUGUAGUUUCAAUCUGUUUUCAUUUUAGUAUAAUUUGUCAACUAAGUUAAUUUUUCCUUCUCUUUUGUGCACAUCUUUUUGUUUGACGGCUUGGACUAACGAUGUAAAAUGAACUUUCGAGAACAGAAGUGCAACCAAACAAAAGAAGAUAAAGGAAGAAAAGUGAAAACAUAAAUAAACUACCAAAACAAUUGUUAAGAUAGUUGAAUCACACGUAAAAAUUAAGCAUAUUUUUUUUAUCCAACUAACGUUCCUCUUCCUUGUUCAUCAUCCAUGCUCCAAUCUACAAUAAUGCUUUACUAAGAUGGUCCGUAGAGCUUCAAUGCUUGCACCGGCUCAGGUGUUCUCAACACCAUCACUUUUCUCUAUUUGCAUUUGCUGGCAGUGUUGCUCGUGGAUUUCCACGAACUUCUUUCUUCUGGCAGCUGGAUCCAUUCAUCUAGUUGUCGGAUUUCUUCACUUGUGACUGCGUGCAAAGUGGUGUUUGAGGUUGGAUGCUACAAUCGGCGAGUGAACCUGAGGUUGGAAGCAUGGAAUUGGGCGAAUCGAGAAGUGUUGUUGCAGCAGCGGUUGCAGUUGACUUUUCAACUUUCUUUAGUUUUUUCUAUGUUGGGCCUAAGCUGUUGGUUGAGCUCUGGUUUAAUUUGUUUGGCUUGUCCAUUUUGCUUGUUUAUAAUUUUUUAUAUAUGGGCCUUUGGUUUGUACAGCCUGUAAGUUUGCUUGUUUCUGGUUCGUAAUAUGUAUGUAUGGUAUGUAUGUUUUUAGCUUUUGCAAACGUUUUCACUGGCUUUCUUCCUAGCCUGGUGGAUAAUUGCAUAAGCAUGAUUCCAUUUGGUUUCAGGUUCGAAUGCUGGUAUCGACUGAGAUGGUGAGUACAGAAUGAUGAUGAUGAUCAAGCAUGCAUGCAUCAGUAUGCCCUGUGUGUCUCCGUGUGUGUGUGUGUGUGUGUGUACGUACAUAUAUAUGGAAAGGGAUCCUCUCCGGAUCACCAAAAUGAGGUAUUUCAAAAUACCUCUGUUUUUUUUAAUACAUAUUUUACUCCCCUUUUUUUAUUUUAUGUUAUUUCAUUUAAUAGAUUUAACAUCAAUCAUGCCACUUGUCAGAUGAUAUUCUUCUCUACUUAUGACGUAAUGUUUUAAGUAGCUUAGUUCAAAUCCUUAACCAUACCGUGUAAACAUAUCAUUGUUUUCAAAACACCGAUCAUAAGAUAAAACAUUAAAAAGCUUGGCUAUAUGCAUUUUACAUUUGUUGAAAAUAGUUAAUUGCAGUAAUAGUUCCUGAAUUUUAAUCUAAUUGGAGCUUUGGUCCAUGAGCUAAAAAUCUAUGAGUCCCUUUACUUCCUACAGUAUGUGAUAAUGGUCUCUUUGAUAACUCCAGUUGAAUUUUUAGUUCAUUUUUGCUCUUGAAAUGCUUUAUUUCGGAUAAAGCAUCUACUAGCGUUAAUCAAAAUGACUCUUCAAUUUUUUUCUAUUGACAACACACAACUAAACAAUGUUCGAUGCUCAUUUUCAAAUUUUCAUAUGCCUAUUUUAUUAUCUAUAAUUUCCUCUGCUAUAUCUUUUUUGGUCGAAUUUCUCCUACUACUAUAUAUUAAACAUAGUAAUAAUACUUCUUUUCUAACUAUUUAGGUUUUAGCUCGACUAUACAAGAACAUGAGGUCCAACCAUAGUAUUGGACUAGUCUAUGUCUUUUCUAUUUACCAAAAUAUAUAAUGAUGGGUGGUAUUGGAUUGUGUUCAGAAAACUUAUUUACCACCGUGUCGAGAUUUAUAUUCAUGUAGAUUUCGAGUCGUUAGAAAUUAUCAUCUUAAUCAAUGUAUACUAACACCAAUUUGAAUAAUUUGGUCAAUUUUGUGUCCACUCCUAAUAAAACCAUUGUAUACUUAUAUUUUUAUGCAUUGCAUACUUUAAUUCUUUGAAAUAUAGUUCAACUCAAUAUUUUCUUAGAAUGCUGGUCACAUAUAUAUUGAGAACAAUUGUGACUCUAAAAUUACUAUGAAAUCGAUAUCCAUAUAUUGAGGACAAUUGGGCUACCAUGAAAUCUUUUCUUUUCAUCCUAAUUUGUGUGUUUAGGGACUCAAAUUGCCAAAUUAAAUAUCUGUAGCCAAAGAUUUGACACAAAUAUCUCUACUAAUCUCUACUAAUUAAUAAAACACUCAUUAUCAACCAAAAUAUUAUGAAAUUACCAAUUUAACUCUCUAAUUAAAACAUAACAUGAAUAAGAAAUAUGAGGCAGAAAUGUAAUUUCACACAACCAAAUUUUGCUGCUUUUUUUUUCAAAGCCUCACCUACAUGUAAUCCUAACAUAUAUCUAAUUAAAAUAAAAAUAAAAUAAAUAAUAAUAAAUAAAAAAAACACUUCCCAAUCCCACAUUCUCUAUCACUCUCUUCCUCUCUCAUUCUAUUUCAAAAACAAAAAUAAAAAAAUUUCUUACACAUUUUAUGUGUGCACAUAUGCUAAUAUGUGUGUGUAUAUAUAUUUGUAGCCCACAUGAACUCAAACAAGAGAGGAUAUUGAAGGAGGUCUUCCUGCGGGUGGGCCCACAUCCAAAUGGUUGAAAUGGUAAUUAUAUCGCACAAGUUAUUUUCUUUCACUGAAGUUUUGACUGGUCUUCUUCCAGCCUCGUGGUAAAGUGCGUUAGCAUUUCACCCUCAUGGUUUCGGGUUCGAAGGCUGGUAUAGCUAAGAAAGAAAAUGAUAAUCCAACCAAAACCCUAGUUUCCACCAAAUGAGGUAUUCUGAAAAAUACCUCUGUUUUUAUGUCAAAUUUCGUUGUUAAUAAACAAGCAUAUGCAUUAUUUUUAAUAUCGAACGAUAUUGUAAGACCUCUAUAAAGUUAUAAAUUUUUAUAAUUUUAAAAUGAUUAUUACUUAAUAGAGAUGUAGUUAAAAAAUAUUAUUUAUUAACUUAUUUUAUCUUUUAUGAAUGUAGUAUUUACUAAAUAGGAUUCAUGAGGAUGUUGUAUGGAAAUUCCAAUUUCAUGCCAAAAAGCUGUAAACAUGCUUGAGAAGUUAGAAACAUUUUGGCUUCAACAAGAAGGUGUCCAUGUUAACGAAAUAUUACUACCCACAAGCUCAAAGAUGUGGAAUAAAUUCUAAAAGCUAAAACACUGUCCCAAAUAACUUUAGAGAAAUAUUUAGUUCAUCUUAAACUUUUAUACGUGAUAUUCCAUAUUUUUGUAGUUAUUAACAAUAUGAGGUAUUGUACAUUGUCACAUUGAGAAAAAAAAACUGUACAAAACAAUGCAUUAUUGGACAAGAAACGCGAUAUGACAAUAAACUCGUGAAAAUGUUCGACAAUAUUUUUUAAAGAGAACAUUGUUAGGACCCAAAUCCAAAUAGUCGAAAGCCAUUCAUGGAAAAUGUUUCUGCAAACUAACCACCGGUCUUCCUCCUAACCUUAUGGAAAGUGCACAAGCAUGAUCCCUGUAGGUUCCGGGUUCGGGGGCAGGUAUCCUGCGAAUUUUAUGUUCUUCAUGAACCCUCAGAGGAAACAUAUUAUAUCAACAAUAUGAGGUAUUGCAAAAUACCUCUGUUUUUUUUUAUGUACCUACUAUUUUCUCUCCUCUAUGUAUUUAAUUAACUCUAUAAAUGUUUAUGUAUUUGUUCACUAUUAGUGAUUUUUUAUUAUUUAUCGAAGUCUAAAUAUUUUUAGGUUAAAAUGUUCAAAAAAAUAAUCUAUAUAAAUUUUAUUUAAAAAAAAUAAUAUUUAGCCUAAUGUUUUUCUCUUACCCAAAAUUUUAACCCAGGACCAUUGGUGAAGAAAAACUAUUUUCUAAGUGAAAACCUAAAUUUUAUGUGUGACAACCUGUCAUAGCCUGUCCCAAAUAUACAUUUAUCAACGGUGUGAAUUGACGAAUAUACCCUUGGACGUUAGUUGUGUAAUGUGGUUUAAGUGUAGCUUUGGGUUAAUAUUCUUAAAUCCUAAUUGUUUGGAACCAAUUAGGAUUAAGUUAUGGUGUUUUUUUGGUGGUUGACCAAUCCUAGGCCACACACACACACUCUCUCCUUUCUUUCCUGUACGCUCUCAUCUCUCUCGGACUCUUACUCUCUUUCUCUCCUUCGAACUCGUACAGACAAACAUCCAAAGCCCUUGAAACUUCAUGGAUCGAAGCUUUAAAGGUAAGGUUCUUACUCAUUGAAACCUCCUGAGUACAUUGAUACCUUUGUUUGGACGUGAGUGCUUCGAAAACCCGAGAAAACCCUAACCCCGAUUUUGUGCAUUGUUCAUGCACACGUAAAACCUUGUGUUUCAGGAAAUUCUAAGGACAUAGGAAGCUUAAGGAGGUCCUCACGAGUCUAAGGGUACUUCGUUGGAAGGAUUUGGACGUCGGAGGAUUGAGAUCGACGUGUUUCUAGGUAAGCCGAGCUAUCGACCUUUCUCAAGAAACAUCUAGUAGAAUUUAAGCCUUGAAACUUGCAUAACGUGAUUCUACAUGUUAUUAGCUUCAUUUUGGUACCAAUUUCAUGAAAAAUGGUUGAAAAAUGAGUGAGAAUAGUGGGUUUAAAGUUUUACCCAGUUUUCCGGCGACAGGCGACUCGCCUGAAAAGAUGAUGGCAUAUUCUGUCAAUUUGGACGGAAUAUGCUGAUGCCGUCAGUCAGUUUUAACGGAAUCUGUUAGGUUUAACGGAAUAUUCCUUAACGGUGGUUAGGGAAUCCGUCAGGUUUGGCCAUGCGUAGGGGUGUGUUUUGCCGUGCCAUUGCCGGCGCGUGGGGGCGCGUGAGUCUUCCAAAAAAAUUUCUAAAAAUUUGGGGAUGAUCCUGAGGUUGUGUAGAUCACUGUGGUAUAUUCAUAUACCCAAUUUGAGUAAUGUAUGAGAAGUUAUUAGCUAGUUUUGCCUAUGUGCUUUAAAAUAAUGUUUUUAUAGUUAAUUCGCAUAUAGGUGAGACUUAUCCCGAGGACGAGCGUAUCCACGGGCGACUUGGGGGCUACGACCCUUCGACAUACCAGUGAGUGGGCUGUUGUUUUCAGUAUAUAUUUAUAUGCUUGAUAUAUUUCCCAGAAAUGCAUUUUAAGGAAAAUAUGCGUUGAAAUAAUGUGCCAAAUGCUUUUAUAUUCUGAAUAUGCAUUUCAUGGUUGCAUAUAAAUAAAUGUGGUGCUGUGGAGGUACAGGUAAGUUCAGGUAAGUUAUGUUUGGUUAUGUGAAUCAUCGAUGAUGUGAUAUGUGAUUGAAUAAUGUUGAGCUCAUAAAACUGCACCUAGGGUGAUUGUGAUUUAGCUAGAGAUAUGAAGUACAUGCCUGUUUAUUUACGUCACUUCCCACACUAUAUGCUCAUAUUGGAUUCAACUUAAGUGCACAAUCUUGUCGUACAGACCUUAUUCAUGGUUCCGUAGGUGACUAGCGAUUUAUCGCCCGGCUAUUAUGAGAGAAUAGAAUUGAGCAUAAUUAUAUUUCACCCAAUCUUGUUGUGCAGACCCUUUUUAGUGGUUCCGACAUAUGUGCAGUAUAUUGCCGUAUAGGUCAUUGUAGUGACUCCGGCUAGAUUGACUUUUGAGCUAUGAAUUCAGCCGUACAGACCACCUUAGGGGUCCCGGCUAACAUAUCAUAUUUCUAUGAAAUCAUUCUUACCUAGAUUGUUUACUUUGCUAUAUUUUGGCAUGACAUACAUAUGAAUAUGAUUAUGUGAAGCAUGAAUUGAAUUGUUAUGAUUUCAGAUAUAUAUAUAUAUAUAUAUGCUUAUAUCUUAAUUUUGGGAAAAUUUUACAUGUUUUACAGCGAGGGGUUAGUAUGUUGAUAAAUGAAAUGGUUUUGUAAAACAUUUGUUUUUACCCACUCACGUUUUCUGUUUUGCGCCCCUCCAGGUUUUAAGUAAACUUGCUGUUGGUGGCUUGAGGACGUCGGCAGUUCUGACUUAUCUAAAUAAUAGUAGGACAUUUCUGGUAUUGUAUAACUAGUACUUGUCCUACUGGACUGCACCUAGACUUUAUGCUCUGAUUAGAAGUGUUCACUGUUGUAACUAACUCCUAUCACUUUCUGUUUAGUAGUGCACUCUAGUAAUUUGGUUUUUAAUUAUUCGUAUAUUUCGUAUCUUUAUUGCUUCCGCACUGUGUACAUGGCUACGUCACUCUCAUGUGAAGACCAGCAUGCCUUGAUCUCGGUCGGGGUGUGUCACAACCCGUCCCAAAUUUUACAAUUUUAUAAAUUUUAAAAGCGUGAAUUAACGAAAAUGCCCUGGAGGUGAGGACUUUGAUUUAUGUUGACCGUCGUCUAGAGGAACGUAUGACUUAUUAUUUUGGCAUAUUCGUAUAGUACUCGUUGGUACGAACGCAUAGGCGAAAGCCGUUUACGAGUCCGGAUUAUAACGGUAUAGUUACGGACGUUUGAAAUUGGUUAGUUAAAGUUUAGUUUAAAUUAUUAGAACUCCCACCUUGUGGAAGUGGCCACCAAUCAGAUUUUUAAAAAGGUUAGGAGCUGCCCAAUCAGGAGGAGGAGAAGGAGGGGAAAAGAGGGACCCAAAAUAGGUCAUUUUUGACCCGCGAACCACCAUUUUUGACCCGGCCAUAUCUCCUUCAUACGACCUCCGUUUUGGGUGAUCUUGGUGUCCAUGGAAAGCCCUUGAUGAGCCCUACAUCCUGGUAGUGUUAGAUUUCCCAAUUUCUUUCCAAUUUUUCCAGUUCGAAGCCACAAACCCACGGGUGUUUAGGCGGCUCCGGCAAGUUUCACCGUCCAUGACCACCACAAAAAGGCUUCCCUCAACCCCAUGAACAAGCCCAAGCAGUGUUGGAGGUGUCAGAGUUCGAUUAGAAGUUGAAUCAAAGCACAGCCUUUUCUAGGGUUUCAGCGGGUUUAAGUGAAAUUGGAGCCUUUCUUGGCUAAAUUGGACUUGGCCACAGUUUUCGGCGACCUCCGCCACUUUCGAGGCAUUUUCUUGCCAAAUCACGGUGAGAUAGCCAUCGUGUAAGGUUGCCCAGAAAUUUCGGCGAGUUACCAGUUUUCCCGCGGACAGCCGUAUUUCAGACCAUUUUCCGGCCACCUCCGGCCACCAUUUGGACUCCAAGCUAGUAUAAUCUUGCUCUACAUUUCUCUAGCUUCGAUUUGGUAUAUUAUGGGUUGAAUUUGGUUGAGAAACAAGUGAGAUAUGGAGUUCCAAAGAUCGCCCAAGAAAUCUACAAAAACUGCAGAAUCCGGCAAAGUCCCAUUAAGGUCCACCACUUGAUUAGAAUAGUAAUCGACUAUCCGACCGUUAGAUCAUCACCAAACUUUAAUACAUUAUAGUAAGUAAUAUUUAAGGACCAAUGAAACUUACAGAUCAGGAAUCCGACCUACGGAUCUUCUCGAAUUGGAUGUGUAAGUUUAUAAAAUAAAUGUUAACCGCCACUUGGUUUUGGGCAAUUGGAGAAGAUCCGACCGUUGGAUCGCAAUGAAAUUUUAGUAUGUUAUUCUAGAAGCAUAGUAUGGAUCUUUGGAAGUUACGGAUUGAAAAUCUAAUAUGCGGAUCUGCCGAAUCGAGUUAUAUAGAGUUGUAGACCCUACCAUCGAUCUUUGAUCGACGAUUGACUUAUGGUCAAUGGGUCUCAAACUACUUUAGAAUGUCCUUGAGGAUGUGUUUUAUGUGAAUUACGUAUUCUAUUUAUGAGAGUUCUGAGAUGUGAUUCUAUAAUUGUUCCAAGCACCAAUCAUUCGAGACACCUCGAUACGCGUGCUAGAGAAUCAUAGCAUGGACUCUAGGUGAGUGGGUCUUUUCCUUUUAUCAUAGGUACAUAAUUGAUAGUUCCUCAAAUGCUUCUAAAGUGAAUUGUGCAUGUUACCUACAAUUAAUUAUAGUGAACUACGAAUGGCUUGAUCCCUUUAAGGUACGUAGGCGGUCUAACGAGACGUUAGUGCAACCACAUAAUAAAUGAGACCAAAUAACGGAGACAAUUGCCUUGUUUAGGGAAUUGAGUAAUGUGAGGGACAUUGGUGGAAAAUAUAAGAUUUAACCUUAUGAUUUGGUGGUUAAUUAUUGGUCAUAAAUUAAUGUAUGAAGAAUCAGGAAAAUGAAGUAAGGAAAUGUAAGUAAUGAUAGUUAAUUAAACUAGUAUCUAAUUGGGCUUAUCAUUGAUAAUUAUCUCCGAAAAUAAGUAGUUCGGGAGUAGGGCGUUAUGGCUUAUGCAUUUUAUGCCAUAUAUAUAUAUAUAAAUUUAGGAAUACAAUGUUAUAGUUGAAUUUUAGAUUGCAUCAUGACAUAUUCAUAUGUGUAUUACUUGAACCUAAUUAUUGUGAAUGCUUCGAGGUGCUAAAUGAUGCCGCGGACACCCAGGUAAGUUUCAGAUGAGUACAUGUUGAUGAUAGUGAUGGUAGUGAGUAUGUUGAUGAGAUAUUGAUUGGCUAGCAUGUUGAUGAGAUAUUGACUCAGCCGUACAGGUCACGUGAGGUGACUCUGGCCAGUAUAUUGACGAGAAAUGUGAUGAGAUAUGGAUAAGGAGAUAUUGACUGGCUAGCAUGUUGAUGAGAUAUUGAUUCAGUCGUACAGGUCACUAAAGGUGACUCCGACUUAUGAGCUAACAUAUAUAUGAUGAUAUAUGAUGAGAUGCUAGCAUAUAUUUAUGAUGAAAUAUGUAAUGAGAUGCUAGCCUAUAUGUGAUGAGAUGCUAGCAUAUAUUUAUGAUGAAAUAUGUAAUAAGGUGCUAGCCUAUAUGUGAUGAGAUGCUAGCAUAUAUGUGAUGAUAUAUGAUGAGAUGCUAGCAUAUAUUUAUGAUGAGAUAUGUAAUGAGAUGCUAGCCUAUAUGUGAUGAGAUGCUAGCAUAUGUGAUGAAUAUGUUAUGAGCUAGCAUAUGUGAUAAAUAUGAGACGAGCUAGCAUAUGUGAUGAAUAUGUGAUAUGCUAGCAUAUGUGAUGAAUAUGUGAUAAGCUAGUAUAUGUGAUGAAUAUGUUACGAGCUAGCAUAUGUGAUGAAUAUGUGACGAGCUAGCAUAUGUGAUGAAUAUGUUAUGAGCAAGGUAUUAAAUAUCGAUGAUAUCGGAAAUAUCGGUAGUCCGAAAAUACGGAAAUAUCGGGAUAAUAUCGAUAUCGAUAAAAAUAAUAUGGAAACCACGGAAAUUGUAAGAAAAACUUGGAAAUUUUUAUUGAAACUUUGCAGGAUGUUUAUUUAGUCAAUUAUCUAUUAGUUUAUCAUAAAAAAUUGGAAGGAAAUGCAUUGCAUGAUGGAUUUAACAUUAUCAAGUUGAUUAUAUAGCGAGCUGGCAAACAUUGUGAGUGUAGAAAAUAUGUAGUAAUUAAUGAAAGAAGUUUAAACACACCAUAAUCAUUUAUAUAUAAUGAAUUAGUACAAUAUUUUACACUUUAUACAUUACAUGGUAAGAUACAUGAGUAACUUAGUACCACAUAGAGUUCCUAUGAGGUUCAAAUUUUUCACUAUCUUCAUCAUCUCUGUGUAGAGUGAGUGUAUUUUGAAGAGUAGUUAUCAAAUGAUAAAUCCCCAAAAUAGUUUUGCAUGUAAUUGUUAACAUGCCACCCAUAUGGAUCCGAGAUUGGUUGACCUUGUCCAUAAGCAAAAUCAUUUGGAGAUUGAGUCUCAGAUUGUUUCCAUGAGUCGCUCGAUUCCAUCCCAACAGGAAUGGGAUAUAAAAGGUAGGAAAAUGGUUGGUUAUGAGUAUAACCAUAGUUACUACUUCCCACUCCAACAGAGUCCGAAGUUAUAGAUAACGAGUCAUCUUCUUAACUUGACAAAAUCCCCUUGCCUCUUUCUCUACGAGUAGUCCUUCCCUAUGGCACCAAUUCCUGGUAUGCCCGCCUACUGCCAUGGUCCUCAUCCUGUUUUGCAUGCGUGAAGUUUGCCUUACCAGUGAAGGGGCUCAUAAAUCCGGGAGGUGGUCCAACAUAGUUUCCAUAUCCACCACGACUAUCUUUAGCUCUACUAUAUCCUUCAUCAUUCCCACCUUCGGUGGUAGGUGAGUCUCCUCCUGAUCUUGUACUAGAGAUAUCAUUAGUAUCAGCACGAUGUUGUGGUUGUGUAGGAUUGGAAGAAGGUGGAAUUCCAGUGUUUCUUGGUCUUGGGCGCAAAAGUUCUUCCAAAGUGUCAGCGCUGCUAGAUCCCGCCUCUUCCGCUAAUACUCUUUCUACAUUUAUCCCUUCAUUACGUGCUUCUUCAGCAACUUUGGGAGCUGGGUUGCCUUCAUCAUCAUCUAAAUGAAGAGGUCUAAUCCAUUGAUAAAGUUGGUUACCCUCUGUAUCAUCAUCUUCAGCAACAAUAUCAAACACAUCUAGUGGGUCACCAUGGUCGUCAUGAUCUAUUUCUGCUUCCUUAUCUCGAAUUUGAAGCAUCAUGUUAUAGUAGCAAUAAACUAAUUUUUCCAACCGACUAUGAGCCAACCUAUAUCUUUGCAUUGUGUGUAUGAGUGCAAAUGUGCUCCAAUUUCUUUCACAAGCAGAUGAGGAAGCUGUUUGUGAUAAUACUUUGAUUGCUAACUUUCUCACAGUUGGUGCAUCGGUCUCAUACAUGAUCCACCAUUCAACUACAAUGAAAAACAAUGUUGAUAAGCCUAAUAACUCCAAAAAAUUCUAUUAUAAACUUAUCCUGAAAUAUGUUUACACUCAUUAGGAGACAUUUUUGUUCGAGCAGCAACUGAUGUUGGUUCUCCAAAAGUUCUUCUUGCAUCUCUAAACCAUGUUAGCUGAAUUCAAUAAAUCGUGUUAGUUUAAUCCAACAAAGUAAUUAUUAUAAUUUAAGUAAUUGUGUACCUCAUUUCCAAAUUGGCCAACUGCUGGUGAUGCAAGGUUUAAUUUAGAGUAUACAUUAUGUACAACACGUAUAAGGGUACCAUCAUCUCCAACACCGGGUCUGUAUUGGUAUCGAGGAUUCAAAUAAUAUGCUGUUCAAAGAAACACAUACUCUAAUAAGAGAAAUAAUACUUAUGCAACUAAAGAAAUGAAUUGCAAAUUAUGACAUAAUUUAUACCUGCUGCAUGCAAAUCGUGGUAUAAUGUUUUAUACUAUCAGUCUUCAAUUAUCUUUAUGACCCACCUUGCACCUUGUUUUCUUUCCAAUUUAUCCUUCACUACACGCAUCAACUCAUAUAUUGCCCCCAUAGUAGGGUACACUUUUGUGUCAACGAUCCGUAAAACUUUAUAAAGAGGUUCAAACACUUGGCACACAUGUUCUGAUUGUGUCCAAAAAGCAUGAUCAAGCACUAUACUUUCCACCAUACGACCUGCAUUUGAGCGGCUCAAAUUGUGGUUGGCCCAAUCGUCACCAGUGAAUAGUUGCUUCAACCCUGCUUUCUUCUUAAGUACGCUGUCUAAUGCAAUAUAGUUGGUGGCGAAUCGAGUGGUAGCGGGACGAAUAAUGUCUCCUUUGCAAAAUUCACGUAUCUUUGCCAACAACCAACCGUGAUUGUAAAUAUAAUUUGUGAUCGUUCUAGCUCUUUUUACCACAGUAGCAACAUUCUCUCUCUUCCCCAUUGCCUCAAACAUGAGAUCAAUACAAUGUGCUGCACAUGAUGUCCAAAACACAUUAUGAUGCUUCAUUAAUUUUUUUCCAGCUUUGACAAAUGCAGACGGUUGUCGGUCACGACUUGGACAACAUUAUGCUCUCCCACCUCCAUGAUUACAUCUCUCAAUAAUUUGUAAAUAUACUUGUACUUCUUUAUAUGGUCUGAAGCAUCAAUAGACGUAAAAAAAAUUGUCUUUCCCUUGGAGUAUACCAUGAAGUUUAUGAUAGACAAUCUGGUCGGGCCAGUCCAUCCGUCACACAUGAUUGUGCAACCAUUAGUUUCCCACUUUGACCUCAACUUGUUAACAUACUCGCCAAUGUCUUUAUACUCCAUAUCCAAAUAUUUGUUUCUUAUCUCAUAGGGAGUGGGAGGUUGUACUCCAACACCGGCAUGUUGACAUCCCACUACCAUAUUUUUUAAAUGAUGUGAUGAUGCUUUCUCAGCAGGGACAUUUUCAUAGAUAAAGAACUUGCUAAUUAGACGCCCUAUUCCCUCCUUCACAUUACCUCCAGUGAAAUAACUCCAAACACUCUUUUGACGUGCUUUGGAUGACUUAUAUAAACUUGGUGCUAUUGGUGGUGUUGGUUAUGAUUCUCUAAGACUGCCUCCCCGUCUCAUUUGUGCAUCACCACUUGUCCCGGAACCUUGUGCUCUAUUAGGAAUUUUAUGAAGUUGUUCUCUUUCCCAUGCUGACUGUUUGGAGGCACGUAAUGCUUGUUUCAAACUGCGUCGUUCUUCAGGUCCUAUGUCAUCAUCACAUUCGUCCUCAUCGUCAUCAUCAUCACUAUCAACCGCUUGGCCAAUGACUUAUCCUCGUAGCCCAGCUCGAAUAUUUCCAUUCCAAGUGUUAUCUUUUCCUUCUGCUGUUUUUUUUUUUAAUAAUGUGGUGAUGAAUGCCUUCACUUCUGGGGGGACAUUAUCGCAUCGUUGAACAUUAUGUGCUGGAUCUAAUCCACUAAAAUGGUACUUAAGUCAUGUCACUCCGCCACUCUUCAUUACCCGACCACAAUAUUUGUAAAUUGUGCCAUGUUUGUUUCCGUCUAUUGGGUCUCCAUGUUCCCAAGCUGGAUCACGUUUAGUAACUCCACUGGACAUCUUAAACGUACCUAUAUUUAUUUUUCAUGAAAAUUAGGCAAUUAUUUUUUGGCCAAAAAAUAUAGUAGUGACAGAAACAUAUUAAAUAGGAAGUAAAGAAAAUAGGAAGUAAAGUUAUUUUACAGAAGAAUUAAAUAGGAAGUAAAGAAAAUGAUUGUAAGAAUUUAAGUAAUUAUAAAAAUAAUAUGGAAUAAGAAAACCUAAUAUUAAUGAAUAAUAAUCCAAUUUGAUAAUAAAAUAAUAAAUAACAUUAAACAUAUUAAAAUUAUUCUAGGGAAUAAUUAUACAACAUUACUUAAUUACUUCAAAAAAUUAACAUGCAAGUAUAAAUUACAAUAAUAUAAAUAUAAGUUCGUAAACUUACCUUAAAUAUGGAACCCUUUGUGUUGAACCUCUGGAAUAGAUCUGGAAUGACUCUGAAAGGGGUAAGGGAAGAAGAAGAAACAAAAAGGUGUAAUAGAUGUUUUAAUUUUCGAAGGGUCAAAAAAUGUGUGAUGAUCUGAUACUCCACCUCUGAGAAUGUGAAAGAAUAACACAGUGGCACACGAUUUGAAUGGUCUGAAAUUGUAAAAGUUGUCCAUGGUCUGAUACUUCACCAUUAUUUUUGUCCAUGUUCUGAAAUUGUACAAGUUGUAAUUGUAAAAGUUGUCUGGGUUUUGAAUUAUUUAGAUGCUUUUGAAUGAAACCACCAUUAUUUUUGUCCAUGGUCAAAAAAUGUGUAAUCAUCUGAUACUCCACCUCUGAGAAUGUGAAAGAAUAUCACGCGUGGCACACGGUUUUGAAUCUUGAUGCAUGAAACCACUAUUAUUUUUGUCUUGGUCAAAAAUUGUACCAUUCCUAAAAGCUGUAAAAGUUUAAUUAUUUAGAUGCUUUUCUUUUCUCACACCGUCACACACCACCUACACACACACACACACGCCACCGACACACACACACACUCACACACAGGGAUCACACACGCCACCACACACGCACAACAACACACGCACACACGACUCGUCUCUGGAUCAUUCUCUCUUCUCCCCUCCCUUCUCCCACAAACACACACACAAAUCUCACAGAUCUCUUGAAUUCUUGAUCAUUCUCUCUUCUCCCUUCUCCCAUACACACGCACAGAGACCUUUCUCGAUCCUUCUUCCACAUGGCAUUCUCCUCCUCCCUCGCCUUCCUCCUUGUCCGCAUAUUCCGCCUCGUCGACGAACCCAUGAACUCUCUGGCGAGUUCUCUUGAUCCUUCUCCGCCUUCCUCACCGAUCCUACUGACAACAACCCCACCUCUGUCGUUGACUUCAACGACGACCACCAUGACCCCCAAUCGCCCCUAAACCCCAACCUCAACCUCCACAACAACCACCCAUUCUCCUCCUCCUCUCGGAGCCUGCCCCACCGGCGCCGCGCUAGCCUCCGUCUAUGUUCCACGUCUACUUCAACCAAGACCACGCCUACUUCGCCGUAGGGACAGACCACGGGUUUUGGAUCUACAACUGCGAUCCGUUCUGCGAGCUCUUUUGCCGCAACUUCGACAACGGCGGGGGAAUCGGCGUCGUUGAGGCGCAUAUCUUGGGUUUGAGCAUGGAUUGUAGAGAGAUCUAGGCAGCUGGCACGACACAGCCUCGGCUGCCUUUCCGACGACGGAUCCACGAUGACUUUUUCGAUAAUAUUGAUAAUAUCGCGAUAUUUUGACGAUAAUGAGACAGAUACGUGGGAAAAUAUCGGUGCCACUGAAAAACGAUAAUAUCGUCGAUAUUAUCGAUAUUUAAUACACUGGUUAUGAGCUAGCAUAUGUGAUGAAUAUGUGAUAGGCUAGCAUAUGUGAUGAAUAUGUGAUAGGCUAGCAUAUGUGAUGAAUAUGUGAUAAGCUAGUAUAUGUGAUGAAUAUGUUAUGAGCUAUCAUAUGUGAUGAAUAUGUGAUAGGCUAGCAUAUGUGAUGAAUAUGUGAUAAGCUAGCAUAUGUGAUGAAUAUGUUAUGAGCUAUCAUAUGUGAUGAAUAUGUGACGAGCUAGCAUAUGUGAUAAAUAUGUGAUAAGCUAGCAUAUGUGAUGAAUAUGUUAUGAGCUAGCAUAUGUGAUGAAUAUGCGAUGAAAAUACAAUAAGCUAACCUAAGUGAUGAAAUAUGUGAUGAAUUAGUAUAUGUGAUGAGAUAUAAGUAAGUCGUACAAGUCAUCAUAGGUGACUCCGACUUGCGUACUAGUAUGAGUUAUUAACCACAUGAUUAUUUGAUAUUGCCGAUGAGAUGCUGUCUGGUGGUAUAAUUAUGAUAUUUUUCUGGAAAUUAUACUGGUGUUGUAGCGAGGGGUUAUAUUAUUUUAUAUAGUUUCUAUUAAAAUUAUAUUUGCAGGGCCACUCACCUUUGUUUUGUCUUCACCCUCCAGGUUUUAUUAGAUGAGCUUCCUUAUCGUCGAAGAUUCGUGACAAUUCUUAGUAUUGGAGAUUAUUUCGAGGAUACGAUUCUUAAUUCACUCUUAUGUACUUACUUAUGCUCUAAUGUCACGUGUGAAGUAGGUUCAUUUCCACUCACUGGUGCACUCUGGUAUUUAAGCACUCUUAGGUUUAAAUUUAUUCACAAUUUUCCACAUCAUCAUACUUUAUGGCUUCGUCACCUUCCAGGUGUCGACCAGCAUAGCUCGAUUCGGAGUCCUAGUGGACAUUUCGGGUCGGGGUGUGUCAUUAUGGGUUAACCCAAAGAGUGGAGAUAAUCUUAUUAAACCAUUUUAUACUUAUACUUUUUUACAAUGGUAUAACUUAUUAUUGUACUUAGCGUCAAAACAACUUCACAUUAUUGUUCAAUAAUUAUUUCGUUUUUAGUUUUAGUACUACUAGAGAUAGAGAAGAUAUAUUGAAGACAAAGAUAUAUACGCGGUAGAAGAAGGAAGCUUGGAGGGAUGUUGAGGAAAUGUAAUGGAAUUAUAUACAAAUUAAAAACUGCAAACCAAAGUCUGGAAAUAAUUCUAAAUUGUUUUCACUUUCAACUUUUUGUUUCAUAUAUUCUCCCUUCCUUCCCCUCACCAUUCUUGCUUCACCCUUCUUCACGAAUCGAUAGACAGAUCCAAAUAGAGGACACAAUGACCAUGUAUGUUUUAUUGAGACAUAAAAUUGGAGUGAAAAAUAUUGAGUACAAAAAAUAUUAUCUCAUUUCAAAUAAUUUAAAAAGCAUAACAAAUGCGUAAGAGUUUUUUAUUUUAUUUUAUUUUUCACGUAUAGAUGUGCAUAAAUGUAGCUACAAAUGUCAAAUUAAAAAUGAUAUACAAAUAGAGCAAAAAUUGGCUGGGCCCAAACUCAACUUGUGAGGACUAAGUUCAUUUUUGGGCAAUCGUUUGUACCGGCCUUCUUCUUUGUCUAACGGUUAAUUGCGGUAGCAUGAAUCCUCAAGGUUCUGGCUUCGAAGGCUGGUAUUUGCGAUGGUGAUGAUGAUGAAUCAAUGAAUGAAUGAGAGGCUGGUAAUUAAAAUAAUUUAUGUCCACACGAUGUACGAUGAAUGGACACGAUUUGAAGAUUCUAAUUUCUUUAACCAAAUAAGGCAUUCUAAAAUACCUUUGUUUUUCUAUAAUUUCCACAUGGAAAAUGAUAUGCUUCUUUUGUUUUUUUUUUUUAAUUUGACAUUAUUAAGGGAAGAAGAAGUUUCGAAUAUGGAAUACAUAAGUAGAAACAAAUACAUGCCAUGUUACAAAUGGUCAAAUUAAUAAAAAUGACUAAACAAUGGUGUAAUUGGUUGGGCCCAAAUACAAAGUUUAAAUAAGAUUUUUGCAUGAAUUUUGCACUGGUCUUCUUCAUGGCCUGAUGUACAAGUGCUGAAGCUUGCUUCCAUUAGGUCUCAGGUUCGAAGGCUGGUAUCCGUUGAGAUGGCGAGUUUGAUGAUGGUCAGGCAUGUGUAUGUGUAUAUAUGUAUGUGUGUUGUGGUAGAGAACCCUUGGAUCAAAUUUCAAGGGAUCUGAAUCCCUUUCCCAUUUCCCAUAUAUAUCUAUACAUAAAAACAAAAUGAGGUAUUUAAAAUACCUCUGUUUUUUUCAAAAGUAAUGUUAGUGAGAUUUUUUUUUAUCAAACGAUUGAUUUUGUUAGAUUAGAUAUUACAGAGAUUAAACUUAAAGCUAAAAUUUUGUAAGUUAAAUGACAUGAAAGUUGAUGAUUGGAUUGUUACUCAAAUGUUGAUUAACGUGCUUAUUUCUUAUUACUGACACAUCAUUUAGUUUAGAAAUUUAGUUUAUCUAACAUUACUCAUUUUUUAUAUAGUUUUCUCCUCUUUGUUUUAUUUUAUUUCGUUCCAUUUAUUAGGUUAACACCAAUUAUACUAUUUUGCAUUCUAUACUUUAUUUCUUAUGCAAUUGUAUAAUUUAUUUCGUCAAAAUGUAGUUCAAUUUAAGAUUUUGUUAACAUGCUAUCAACUAAGUAUAGCACAUAAAAAUGUGUGUGUGUGUGUGUGUUAAUCGGCAACUAUGCUAAAAUAAUUAAUCGGCAACUAUGCUAAAAUAAUACUAUAAAAUUUUAAUAUUUAUUUUUUAAUAAACUUUAAAAAUAUGUCUU
RNAcentral lists this long non-coding RNA (64387 nucleotides) under Malus domestica (apple). RNAcentral's name for it is "long non-coding RNA (MDOM_LNC017643)". Lineage: Eukaryota; Viridiplantae; Streptophyta; Magnoliopsida; Rosales; Rosaceae. The record is from RNAcentral.